UAUAAUUUAAAAUAUAUUAUUUUUAGGGAUAACUUCAAAAACCCCGUGGUCUCGCACUUUCUAACUUUAGUACUCUGUGAUUUAAAGUGUAUUAAUUUGCUCCCCUAUGGUUUCGUUUUUUCCCUUUUUUUUUAUCAAUUUUAUUAUUUUUUUUUUCUAAAAUCAGUGACAAAAUUAAAAUUAAAGGGUACUAAAGUAAAUAUUCGGUAAAUCUCGAUGGGUACUUGAAGUUUUUUGUAUAUAAUUUAACGAAACAUUNGUUUAAAAGGUUAUACUUAAUCAUUCCAUAAUUUUAUUCUUAUUUGAUCAUAAAAUCUUAUUGUUAAUCAAAGUAGGGCUACUAUAUUCUUAUUAGUAUAGAGCCUUUCGUAUUCAUAAGUUGUUUUCAAUGUUGGGGCUUCUGAAUCGACGAUUUAACCGUUAAACAUGAUAUAUUUGAAACUUUUAGAAAAUAAAUUUCAUAAUUUUUCGAAACCAUUAUAAAGUCCAUCAAGCGGGUAUAAAAUGAACGAUCAAAAUCGAACGAUAUCCUAAAAUUAGAUGAUCGGAUUCUUCAAUUUAAGAUCGGAAUUAUUGAUCUUUAUUUAGGUAGUGAAUAGAAUUUUCUAUAAAAAUUCAACAUAUUCCGAUUUUUUUACAUUGUUGAACUAGCAAAUAUCUCAUACCGAUCGUUAAAAAUUAUCAAUUUUGUGAGCUUUUGAUCGUAAGUUAAAUGAUAUAGAAAAAUUAUAAAAUUUGAUUUCUAGAAGUUUUAAAUACUCUUAUUAAUGUUUAACGGGAUGGAUCGUCGAUUCGGAAGUCUUAUUAUUGAAAACAACUUAUGCGUACGAAGUCGAUCGUACUCAUGAGAGUAUAGUAGCCGGACUCUGUUAAUCAAGAUAGCAAAAUAAUAUCUUUUGCAAACCACUUCCUCCUAUAAUCUUUAUUAUUAUUAUAUUACCUCAUGGUUUUCAAAAAGUAUUAUUUUACUAACAUAUAUAGUAAUAAAGAGUUAAUUUCAUACAGAUCCUUACAAAUAUAGCGAAUUACAAAUAUAUUUAUACCAAGUUCAGCUUAUGUUAUUUCCGUAAAAGUCCCAAUAUUUUCAAAUAGGUCCCUGCCGUGAGGAUCCAUAGAAAAAAUUUAUUAACCGUAGGUAAAAUAUUUAAUCUUAGUUAGUUAAUGAGGUAAAUUGACCAAACUCCUCUUUAAUUAACAACUGAGACUUUUGAAAAGACAUAUUUAUAAUAGUAAAAAGAUCAUUUCACUUAUAAAAUAAACAGUAUUUUAACGGUAAUAAACCAGAGGGACAUAUUUGAAAAUAUUAAUACUUUUAUAGGAAUAAUAUAUAAAAGUUGAAUUUUAUAAAAAUAUAUUUAUAAUUUAUUAUAUUUGCAUGGAGCUAUACGAAAUUAAUCCUAAAAUUAUUCGUUGAAAUAAAAAUGUAAUAUAUAUUUUUUAAAUUAUAGAAUAGUAAAAUAAAAAUGUGCCAAACAUUACUGUAAAAAAAAGUCGAGGUUCUCAGUUCUCUCUUUAUAUGAAAACGGAGCAAAAAAUAUUCCCCAAUUUUGAGUGUUUGCUGCAGGUUCGCUCCUCCCCUUACCUAACACCUAACCUACCCAACAGUCAACAUCUCUACUUCCUACUCUCUUGUUAGUAUUCUACCAACCCACCACCUCUUCGCAUCUUCUUAUUCGAUUUCUCUCUCCGAUCUCUUCCCAAGCUCUCAUUUCCAGCUUAAUUUGAGGUGAGAUUUGCAUGACCCCCCAAAUUCUUUUAACCCAUCUUCUGAUUCUCGCUGCAGCAAUUCGAUUUGUUCGUCCAAAACAAGUCGAUUACAGCGUUAUUUUGUUCUUAAUUUUAGCUUUACUCCUUUGGGAUCUGGCCUUUGAUGACACGGAUUUCACUGCUUGUUUCCUUCAAUCUGAGUGCUCGUCGAUUUUUAUUUUUAUUUUUUAAAAAAUUCAUUCCUGCUUUUAUUCUCGAUGAUUAUUCUUUUAUUUAUUUAUUUACUUUCAAUAGCCUUCGCAAUUUAUUAGGCUGAGUUUCCUACUUUGUAGAGGGAUGGGAUGUCUGUUUAUGUUCUUUGUUUUGAUGGAUGUCAGAAACCUGAAUGUCACUUUCGCAGUCCGUUCUGAUGAAACUGAGAUCUCAUUUAACAAUGGACCUGCGCUGGUGCGGAGAACGGUGUUCUUAAUAUUUAUAUUCAAUACAUGAGGUCUAAAUUCAAUAUUUGAAUUAAACGGGAGGAAAUUAAAUAAUAUGGACUCGAGACUUUUCUGUAAGUCCAAGAUGUGGACUUGAAUUACAUGAGACUCGGAUUCAGGACUUUCUGCUCAAAUAAUACGUUUUCACAAUCCAUCCAUUUGGAACUCGUGCAGGUCCUUGAUUCGGCGUGUUGCUUCCGAGUAGACUAAUUACACGAGAUGGCUCGAGAACAACUAAGUCCAGAGGAGGUACUUUGUAGAUCUUCUUAAUUCAGGGGUGUCGAUAAAAAGGGGGUUCCAUAAACUAACUAAACAUAACUGGACUGAUCUUUUUAUAGGUUGUUAUGGGAGAAGAGGUCAACAAUGUGAGGUUGAUCACUUUAAACCGGCCUCGCCAAUUGAAUGUCAUCUCAUCCAAAGUGGUGUGCUAUUCAUUUCUAGUCUCAUCCUCGGCGCCGAUGUUGUAGCAUUUGUUUGCAACUUCAAUUGAUGAUAUAUGUGUUACCGCAGGUUUAUCUUGUAGCUCAAUUUCUGGAGAAAUGGGAGAAAGAUGACGAUGCCGAGCUGAUUAUUUUCAAGGUAGAUGUUAUUUCAUUAGGAAAGAAAAAUAAGGAUAUGUUGUUCUAUUUUUACGCUUUACAGGGCGAUAAGAUUAUUAUAUAUACGUUCAACGUGUUUCACAUAACGUACAGGGAGCAGGCCGUGCUUUUUGUGCCGGUGGGGAUCUAAAGAUGUUCUAUGAAGGAAGAUCAGGUUACGAAGAAUAGAAUAUGAUUCCAUUUCUCGUACAAAGGCCAAUUUUAGGCGUUGAUUUCGUAUUUUUAAUGCUUUAGAGUGUAGAGGAGUUGCUUAUGAUAUGUUACUUUCCAGAUGAUUCCUGUCUCGAAGUUGUGUACAGAAUGUACUGGCUUUGUUACCACAUUCACACGUACAAGAAAACCGCGGUAAUAUUUUUAUUUUUCGGUAAUAGAAAGUUAUGAUUCUUUUGCUGAGAAUUUGCUGUAUUUGUCAAGUAAAACGUUUUGACCUCAAUUAAUAUUUAAUUUCAUCAGGUUGCUCUCGCUCAUGGAAUUGUUAUGGGUGGAGGGGGAGCUAUGGUAGUACCGUUGAAGUUUUCUGUAGUCACUGAGAAAACAGUGCGUAUUACUAGUGUAGAAAAUUUCUCCUUUAUCUUUAUCGUUUUUUUUUUUUUGUGUCGCAUCUGGUAGUUAUCAUCAUAAUUUAAGUAAAAGUGAUUUUUACUAAAUUAACUUUUUAACCGUCAUACUUUGUUUUUCAUUUAACGUACAGGUGUUUGCGCUGCCUGAAGCAGGUGUUGGGCUCCACACAGACUGUAGCUUCUCAUAUAUUCUUUCUCGACUACCUGGACAUCUGGGUGAGCAACAACUAGAAUUAGAAUUUGCAAUCUGCGAUAAUGAACAAAUAUAAAUAGAAUUACAAAAUCUUUGUCAUGUUUACUUUCAAAUAUUUGCUUUAUCGUUAGCAAAAGCUUCCUAAAAUAUUAAUUUAAUUUUUUUUAUCAUUAUGCGGCUGUUCUGAUCUACUGCUUGGGUUCUUUACAUUGUAGGUGAAUAUCUUGCUUUAACUGGUGCAAGACUGAAUGGGAAGGAAAUGGUCGCUGCUGGUCUUGCAACUCAUUUUGUUCCCUCAGAUGUAAGAUUAGCACUCAUUCGCAUUUUCCUUGGUGAUGUUUAUUAUUAUAUGUUUCUGUUCUUAUUUAGACUUUUGUAGAAAUCAUUGUGGAAGCGUUCUCACUGCAGUGACUUCAUUUAGAUUCCUGAACAAUUAGUUCCAUUACUGCUUAUGCUGAUAUUUUAGUACGAAUCAACUGAUGCUUGAUUUACACGACAGAGAUUGCAUGAGCUUGAGCAACGAUUAGUAAGUCUGGACUCUGGCGAUGCCCCUACAGUCAGAGCAGUAAUUGAAGAAUUCUCCUUGGAUGUCCGACCAGAGGAAGAAAGUAUCUUAAACAAGUAAACAAUUUAAACUAUGCAUUAAGUACAUGAUUAAUUCUUCUAUAGAUGUAAUAGACAGAGUAUAAAUUAGCUAAUACUUGCAUGCUACCUGUGUCUUUCUAGGCUUUCGACAAUCGACAAAUGCUUCUGUGGGGAGUCUGUGGAGGAGAUAAUCAAAUUGUUUGUAAGUGUCUUGCUUAACUUCCAUUUAGAAUUUGUUUUUUCCGCUUGCAAUGCCAUCAUGACAAUAUAUAUAUUCACAAGGCUUUGUUGUAAGUACUAUUCUAACAAUUUGUUACCUAUAUUCUUUCUCCAUUUUUUUUGUGUGUGUAAUCUUAUGUUUGGGCAUCUUGAGCAUUCUUUCUUUCUAUUUCGCUUGGACCUGAUUUAAAAGUGCUUUGUCGAAAGUGACCAUUUUGAUGGUUUGGUACCCGAAAAAAUUUCAAAAGCACUCUGGAGCACUACUCUUCCAAUUCUACAUAAUGCUGGGAAUUUCCACUCUGAAAGCAGUGGCUAUACUGCUCUAGAAUAUUGAGUUUUACAAUAAUUGGGUGAGUAAAUUUCCUUAUGAAUAACUCUCCAAAGUCCUGAACUAGGAAAGGUCAAGUUAAGAGCAUAUUUGUUUAAUUUGCUGUGUGACUUUGCAUGUUGAUGCGUUUUAGCUUAGAGCUGUACUUGCACCUGUAGACACUUAUAUAUCACGAAGGGAAAACUAUGAAGCUCUUCUGGUCUCCUUGGUAUAAUUUAUUCCAUUAAUGCAACUGUAAAGCAACUUCUCUUGAAGUUCAUCAAUUUUGCUCUGUACCAGAUAUAUGAUUGCUUCAUAGAUUGAUCUUUGUUUUGGCUCAUUCUUAGGCCUAGUUUGGUAGUGAGGUUCCUCUUGGGCCUAGUUUGGUAAUAUGGUGGCUAAAAUCACCACUUUUAUACUUUGAAAAGCAAAAAAAAAAAAAAAAAACAAACAAAAAAUCUAAAAGCACUUCCAAUCUUCUGUCCUUCAAUGCUAUAAAACUGUGGUGGCAACCAUCACCGUAGAAGCAUGAAUCAAUUGAAAUGGGAAUUUCUGAAAUCCUUCUGCUUUCUAAUUUUUUAAGACAAAAUAGGAAUCAAUUGAAAUGGACUUCUAUGUUCUAAUUAACGAACAAUUUUUUAUUUUUUAUUUUUGCAGGAAGCUGAAGCUAGUAUCGAAGGAAAUGGAUGGAUAGCACCAGUGCUUAAAGGCUUAAAACGAUCAUCUCCAACUGGGUUAAAGAUCAUACUAAGAUCGGUAUAAACUCCCUUCUCAUCUUUGUUAAAACUUCCAACAGUAUUUGUUUCUGCCGUAUAUAUAAAAAGCGUUGACUAAUUGGGAAAAAAAAAAAGCAAUAUGGAAACUAAAUGUAAAAAACCAAAUUGCAUUCACAAUCUCAUAAUGGCUUUUGUUUGAAUUUGAAGUACCAUUAAUGUCCGUACUCUUUUAGCCUCUUGCACCAUAUGUUUCAUACAGUGGAAUAAUUAAUUACACUUCUGUUUCUGUUAACAUAUAAGAAAAUAAAUAUAAUGUUGUAUGGUUUUGCUCUCUUCAUUCAGAUUAGAGAAGGUAGGAAGCAGAGUUUGCCUGAAUGUUUGAAGAAAGAGUUCAGACUUACCAUGAAUAUCCUAAGAUCAGUUAUUUCUGGAGAUGUUUAUGAGGUAUGGCUAAUUCUUAACCUGCCAGUUUAUGUACAUGUUUGCUUAAAAUUUAUUUGUUUACUUGCUUCAUGAAGGGCAUCCGAGCUAUCAGCAUCGACAAAGACAAUGCCCCAAAGGUACAUACCCCUUUCUCUCUCUCUCUUAAGCGAAGGUCAAAUAUGUCGAUUAUAGUGUAGAGUACAUGUGUUGGUUCAAUAUGAGAUUUUAGGAGCAUAAAAAUUUUGUGAACAUAGUUUUUAAGAGUUUGGUAUAUAGUGUGAUGAUCUAUGUAGAUUUUCAAACUUAAUGCUUGGUCAUAUAUCUUGUGAUACUAGUGCUUCAUGUCCCUUACAGUUUUGUGAUGACCAGAUGCAUGCGUAAGAGGACUCGAGUAUUAUUAUUCUUAUUUCAAAUAGUUUAGUUGCUAAAAAAUCAAUUAAGUGGAUAAUCAGUUUAUGUUUCUCUGCCAAAUCUAUUGCUAAAGAUUUAUCAUGCGUGUACUCGUGCAUACAGUAUAUAUAUGGACAUGGCGUAUUUGUUUCUUUCUCUCAUUUGUUCAUUUUAAUUGCACAGUGGAACCCACCAACCCUCAAGGAAGUGAGUGAUGAAAACAUUGAUCGCAUUUUCAAGCCAUUCAGCGCUGAACUAGAGCUACCAAUCCCAUCUGAUGAAGAAGAGUCAUGCAGGUCAUACUUUGUAAAAUUGUCCCCUCAUCUACACAAUUUAUCGUUACUUAUUUUUAAUCCUUCCCCUCUCCUCAUUUCAUAUGUUGAUUGCUUGACUUCAAUUUGCAGAUGGGAUGGGAAAUACGAAAACUCGGUCUACUCAAAAGCGAAAGAAACACAAUGAGCCCUAUCGAAAAGAAAUUUAGCCUUUGUUGUGUGCUUCUUACUCAUUUGAUGCAUAAGCUGAAUGAUUAUGUAAAGCAAUGUCAUAUGAAAACCGAAGAUGGUGAUCCUCCUGUUGAGUUACAAAUUUGAUUUUCCCAAUUUAUACAUGAAGUGGAACUAAUCUUGCAGAAUCUGAGCAUAACAUACUCUUGUUAUUUUAAUCUUGCAAUCAACAAAAUACAUAUGCAGCACUGCUUUUACUAUUUCCAUUUUUUGUCCCAAAGAGCUGCUAAAUUCCAGGAGCUUUUUAUUAGUUUCAGGUUUAAGCUCUCCAACAUUGUAUUUCAUCUAUUCCAAGCCCAAGCAACAGUACAAUCAGUUAGCAGCAACUGUUCCAAUUCUUUUUUUUGUUAGAAUCCUUUCAAAUGCUUCUUCUUGCAGAAGAAUUAAAGGUCUCAUGUUGAAUAUAAAUAUGAAAAACAUCGUUCUCUCUUAAUUUAAGAAUUUAGAGAGCAAAAGGUUCUGAGUUUAAACCCCUUUUGUCUUCUUGUUUAGUUUAAAUUUUUCCCUCAUCCAAUUUAAUUUUAUGUUUUGAAUAUAUAUUAAAAAUAUCGUUUUUUGACAGCUUAAUUUUUGAAAAACUAAGGUUGUUUUACAUAAUUUAAUAGUCUCAAAUUGAAAUUUUGUUUUUGUAGCUUAGAAAUUCAUUCGACUUUUUGCAAGAGCUAUGGGAUUUAUGUUUGCUACAUGCUUUACAUAUAUGCUGAUGAGAUUAUUAUUUUUUAUUAAUUCUAUCAGGUUACUGUAACUAUUAUCUCUAUUCAUUAAUUAAAUUACCAUCCUCACGAUUUGUAUUGAUCAUUUAAUCAAAACUUUUUAUGUCACUGUGUUCGUGAAAUGAUAUAAAUUUUUUUCUCGGAUACAAGUAUUACCUACAUGACAAUUAAUAUACCAUACGACCCAAAUCAGAGGAGAAUUUCCAUACACAUCUCAACCUUACAAAGUUUGUAUAACAUGUGGAACAUCUAGGAGAAUAUUUGGACAUGCAAAAAAGAAAAAAAAGCCACUCUUUAAUUGUUCUUAUCAUGUGGAAAAAGAUGCCAAAUUAGGUGAAAUGUCAACUUUUAUUAGAGCAUCUUCAGACUAGGAAAAGCUCACUAGGCUUUGGGUAAACUUCACCUUUUUCUUCUGUGGUUUAGCUCAUUUUCGAUCACUUAGGCUCUCUGCGGGUUAAAAGAUUGUACUUAAUUGUCCUAUUGUUUAGCUCAUUUUUUAAUUUAUCAUCAUAUGGUUCAAAAGUUAAACUUAACAAUUCUGUGAUUAUUCAAAUAGUUUACUUUGCUAUCCCUAUUCGAUAGUAAAAUUUUCAGGUAAAAUAUAAAUAAAACCGCAGAAUUGUUUUUUUUUUUCUUUUGUUUUGUUUUUUUUUUUUUUUUGAGAGAGAGAAAGGUAGCACAUUACCUGCUUCAUUCAUUAAGAAAGUGAAAUUAGUUAUAUGAAGUGAGGCAGCUAGGGCCUCAAAAAAGCGAAAAAUAGAAGAAAAUGGGGCGCGAAAAAAAAAGAAGAAAAAGAGAGAGUAAGAAUUAGCUUCACCCUGCUCUACAGGACUCGGCCCACUCUUUUGCCAACACUCCAAUAAAAUUAGCUGUUCGGGAAACAUCAUUGGGUGGAAACCGCAGAAUAGUUAACUGUAACUUUUUGAGCUAUAUAAUACCACAUUAUGACAAAAUAAAAAAGAGCUGAAUCAUAAGCAGGCAAAGUAAAGUUUAUGCUUUUUUUUGGUUGUUGUUUUAAUUUUAAAGCAAUAGGAUUAGUCACCCUUCUGCGAGCUUUUCAAUGAGCAUUCUAUAGCCAAAAAGUAAAACGAAUAAUGCUACCAGUAUAAUCGAAAAUAGCUUAGAAGCACAGAGAUCUCUGUAUUCCUAAAAAUACAGCAGCCCUUUUCUCUUUCUCUCUCUCUCUCUCUCUCUCUAAUAUAUAGGAGGGCAGUUAGGCUAUUGUCAUACAAUAAGAUUUAAGAUAUAAAGUUUCACCACAAAUUAAUUAACUACAUUUUUGCAAGGGUCCACGUAACAAAUCCACUUAUAACUAAAAGGAAAACUAGCUACGUACUAACUCCCACGAUUCUCAAACAAAAGCAAAACAAAAGAAAAGAGCAGUUGACCAACAUUGCGGAUGAUUUUGUUGGACCACAUCUUUAUUUUUAGCUGCUUUAGUCUCAAUAAUUCUAAUUAGAGGGACCCUACUUGCAAUAUUAAUUCUUUGUUCUCUUGUGUUAGAUAUGACUCGAAAUCUAUUAUCGACUCAGGUUCGGAUUUACGACUCGCUGACAGCUUCGCGGUACGGAUCGGAUCCGAAACCUGUUAUGAAUUUUUCUUUUCGUUUUUGUCCUAGAUGUGUGUGAUCGUGGUUGCCUGUAAUCGGAAGAACAUUGUAUUCCCUUUCGUUUUGAUAGUGAAGUUCUCUCCUCUCUCGCUUGUGGUUUUUUCCCUGCAAAAAGUUUUCUGCGUAAAUCUGUGUGUGUUAUAUUUAUUUUCUGCUUGUGAUUUGAGUGUUUCGUAUUUGCCAUUUUUCGUUUUCCGUGCAUUUUGUGGUAACAUCUUCACACCCACAAUCAGGUCAUUAAUUUCUUUUGUUCUUUAGCAGUUGGUGAGAGAGAGAGAGAGAGAACAUGGCCUCACACAUGACUAUGCUUUAAAUAAGCUCAUGAGUCUGGUUAUAGUCAGUGUUCUGAAAAUCAGGUCGAAUCGGUUUGAUCACGGCUCUAUUUCUAGGCCGGUUCCAUUUGAUUCAUAAAACCGGAAAGCUUUAAAUUCCGUAUUGACCCAUUAAUUCCGUAUUGACCCAUUGAAACACCGUUUAAACCAGUAAACUGUUGAACUAGUCUGGUUUUAGUUGGACCAAUCUGAAUUAUCAUUUAUUAAAGAUCAUCGAUUGGACGGUUCACAGUUCAGAAGUGGUUCGACAGGUCGAACUAUUGGUCGAAUCAGCUCCGGGUUUAAAACAUUAAUUGGUUAUCACUUCAUUAUCUAGAAAAGGUAAGUAAUUAAGAGUAAAAGAUGGCACGAAUUGUCGUGUGAUUAAUUAUUUAUUCGAAAUAAUCCAAAAACUUAAAUUGAUAAAUAAUUUAAGAAACUCUUCACGUUAUGUACUUGCCAAGCUAGAUUCGAAGCUUUUGUUUAUCAUACAUCACAUAGUUUAAAUUGUUUACUUAGUUUUUUUUUUUUUUUGUUCUUUUUUAUUGUCAUAUAAAUAACUGCUGCUUUCGGAAGUAAAAUGUUGAACCAAUACAUAUUAAAGUUCAGACAAUUAGUAGCCUAUGGUCGUCAAACUAUUGGCUCUCAGGACAUAUUUGGCUCAUGAUUGUAAUAAGAAUGGGAAACAUAACUGGAUUGUAUUGGAAUGAAAAACUCUAAUAAUGAAUCAUCUAAAAAUAUUUGAUUUAUUAUUGUAAUAAAAAUCGGAAUGGACAUCGAGAUUUUUAAAUAGUGGUUUUGGUUAAGAGACAGAAGAGUGAUGAAGAGAGAGGAGGGAGAGGUGUUUGUGAGAAAAGACUUUUGAGUGAUUUACUUUAGAAUGAGUCAAUCCGGAAUCUAAAGUUGGAUUUGGCCACAAAUAGAUUGAAUCAUAUUCCUAUCUUAGAGUGAAAUAAAAAUCAAAAUCUGACUCCUGUAAAACAAACAACAACUAUAAGAAUUCUAAUUCUACAAGCACUGAUAAAUUAUAGUCUAAAAUAGAUAAACCAAGCAAGCCCUGAUAAAUAUAUUUAUUCAGAAUUCUAGGUCUCGGCCUGAUAAUUUAUGUAAACCCUCUAUUCUUUUAGUUUUGAUCAAAUUCCUAACAUUAUGCGUAAAUGUUUUCAAGUUCUCCAAACUUUCUAUGUCAUAGGUUUGUUUCGUGGGAAUUUGUUAAUUGGCCUAGAAGAUACCAUAGGAUUAUUUCUCAUUUCCUUCUAUUCAAAUAGGUAUUGAACUCUCUCUCUCUCUCUCUCUCUAUAUAUAUAUAUCUUUGCAAUGCCAUUACGUAUGGUAAGUGGAAAUAUACCUACUAUAUAUAUGUGGUACGAUUUUCUCUUGCAUCAUACUAAGAUCCACUUGCCUUUAAUUUGUUUAAAGAUUUAAGUUCGCAUGUUCUUUUAUAUAUAUAUAUAUAUAUAUGAGAGAGAGAGACCGGUCUCUUCUUUGUUAUUGCACUGAACUUAAAAAGUGCCAAAAAAAAAAAGAGCAACAUUUUAUCUUCUCCACAGCAAUGCCUGCAACAUGUGGAGGGAAAGGAAAUGUCACAAUAUAUGCAGCUCUGAUGCUUCUUCUUCUUCUUCUUCUUGUUCUUCUUCUUUCGGCAUCAGUAGACGCGGCGCGAAACUCUUCCGAAAUAUAUGAAAACCAAAGGACCAGCCAAAACAACCCUCUGAAGGUGCAUGCUCAAUUUUUGGCAUUUAUCUUUCUAUUUCAAUUCUUUUUGGUUUUUAGUUUUUGCUGCUUUGAUGACAGAAAAAAAAGCAAAAAAAAAAAAAAAAGAAAAAGAAAAAGAAAAGAAAAAAAAGUUGAGUGACUGUUUUGAAUUUAUUUGCAGCUGACUCCUCAAAUUUCAGUUCAAAUUAAAGUCCAUGCUUUCCUCCUCUGGGCUUCCUUUGGUUUCUUGAUUCCUGUUGGAGUACUUAUCAUCAGAAUGUCAAACAACACUAAAUCUGCUAAAAGUCUGAAAAUUCUCUUCUUUUCUCAUGUAAUUGUACAGGUAAUAAUUAAGCUCAUUCUCUUAUGGCUACCUUUUGGCUUCAUAUGGUAUGAAAAUUUACUUGCACUUUGAUCCGCAUCUCAAUUAUCUCCUGCGUAAGAAAAUUUGCAUUGAUUUCAACCUGCAUUUUAUUAUUGUCUCAAAUUAAAUAGGUCUAAAAGUUUGGAAUUUAUUGACUGAAAUAGGUUCAACAUUUUAUCCCAAAAUAAUAAAUCUAAGAGACUAAUAAGUUGAGUAUAAGGGUUGUGAUCCAUAAUAAAUCUAACAGCAAGAGACUCAAUAAUAAAUCCAACAUCAAGAUGAAUCGAAUCAUGUCAAAACUCUUGAGCACUAUGACUGAGCUUUUAAAUAUGAUGAGUUAGUCUUUUUUAUCAGUACGUUCUUUUGGAACAAUUAAUUAGCAUUUACAGUCCACAUGAAAGUAUGUUGAGUUCAGAAUGAAAAACUUUACAAAUAUUGAUUGCCAUGUAAUGUAGGUUUUAUAUUUGAAAAAUAGAUAUAAUUAAAACCUAUAUAUAUGUAUAUAUAUAUAUAUAUAUAUAUAUAUAUACCAGGAAUAAUUGAAAUGCGGGCUAAAGUGCAAGGCAUGUUUUGUAAUUUAGGCUUCUUAUUUAUUUAUUUUUUUGGCUAAUAGCAAUUUAUUGAUCUAACAUCAUUUUUCUUUAUGCUGAAACUUUCGAACUGUUCGAUAGAUAAUAUCAGUCCUUCUUGCUAGUGCUGGAGCAAUUUUGUCAAUCAAAAACUUCGCGAACUCGUUCGAGAACACUCAUCAAAGAAUGGGUUUGGCACUCUAUGGAUCUAUAUGGCUUCAAUCAGUGUUUGGGUUCUUUCGACCGAAUCGGUAUGCUAAACAAUCUUUAUUAUUAGAAAUAAUUUCAACAUAGUGAAAACUUAAUUAGAUACUCUCCACCGAAUGAUCCUAUAGUUUCAAGUGUAGCAUUUCGUGUUCGUACAAUUGUUUUCUUAGUUUAUGUAAUGAUACAUCAUUAAAUUGCCGAUAGGAGUUUAUAUAUAUGGCAAUUAUGUGACUCAUCAAAAUGAGAUAAAUAAUAAUUUAAUUGCUUAUUCCUAUUUAUUCUACUAAUUCAUUGUGUUUGAGUAAAGUGGUAAGGCAUGGGAUGGGAAUUUGUGAGGACAUGGCCUUGGUCUUAGUUGGGAGGUUGCGGUAUAGGAUAUAGGAGGCCAAACUCCCACUUCUUCUUUUCUAGGAGAAAUAUAACAAGCGAUCAGUUUCACUUAUUUUUGUAAAGAAAUGAACUCUGUUAAAAAUGCAAAACAAUUAGGCUUCAAACUUGCGACUUUAAAUAUCAAUCAUUAAGUUCUUAGCCAACUGUCUAUUAUUGAGAAUCUAGAAUUCAUUCUCACUUGUAGGUCCAACGGCCCAGAAUACGAAUAUAGGAGGUCAAGCGUAGGUCCAACGGCCCAGGGUACGAAUAUAGGAGGUCAAGCGCUCAAUUAUCAAAUGUCUCAAAGUGAAUCAAGUAAGGAUUAGCGACUAGUUGUAAUGGGACAUUAAAAGUUGACUCUUAGCAGAAAAGAACUACGAUUGUAGGAUAGCAAAAUGCUAUGCUUUAAACCACAGAACGGAAAAGUAGCACAUAAAAGGGUUUCUGAAGUUUCCCAUCUUAUUUAUUGCUUUCCAUGCAUGCUCCUAUUUUUAAGUUUAUGAGCUUUGCUUUCAUAUUCUCAGGGAACUUAAGCUAAGGAGGGUAUGGUACUUUGUGCAUUGGCUUCUAGGAACUGGAAUUUCCAUUUUGGGGAUAGCAAAUACAUACAUUGGUCUACAAACCUACCAUGAGAGAACCACAAGAAGUGUGAAGUUGUGGACAACUAGUAUAAAAUCCGCGCUUCGCUGCGGCUAACGGUUAAUUUUACAUUAUAAUUAAGUAAAAUUAUAAUGAAUAAAACAAAAAAAAAUAUAGUUAAAAAAAUAUAAACAAACAAAGAUUUAAGAAAAAAAAUACAUGCCCAGAAAAUAUUAUAGAGCAUUUAAUCAUUUUUAUUUAAUAAAAAAAAAUUUACCUAGAUAUUAUAUUUUUUUUCUUAAAUCUUUGUUUGUUUAUAUUUAAGAUUAAAUAAAGUAAAAACAAAUCAUAUGCUCUAAAAAAGUUGCGACAAAAAAGAAUAAAAAUUAAAGUAAAAAAAAAAUAAUCAGAGAUUCACCUAGAUAAUAAUAUUUUUUAUUAUAAAAAAAAUAUUUUGAAAUUUUCUAUUGAGAAAAAAUAAUAAAAAAAAGAAAGAAUAUCAAAAAUAAAAAAAUCAUAAUAGAUAAGAAGUUGUGAAGUUAUACUUCGGACCUCACUUUUUUUUUUCUUUUUUUGAGGGUAAAUAAAAUCUUUGAAAUAUUUCAAUUGGUACAUCAGCAUUCUCUCCUCCUUCUAUACAAUAUGCUGAAUCAUAUGUUCAAUAGGCAAUCACUCAUUCUUUUCAUCUUAAAAUAUAAAAAAAAAAUUAACAUAACACAUAAUAUGUUCAUCAUUUUGUUAAAAUUUUAUCUUUAAAAAAAAUAAAAAAAUAUGUAGAUCCGGAUAAAGAAGUGGUCGGUCGGUUGCAGUAGGUUCGGGUUAACUCGUUCGAACUCGGACUCGAAUAUUAUAAGAUUGUGAGAGAGAAACCUACGCGGCUCGGCUCGAUCGAACUUCGCUUAAUUCCCUCUCGCCCUUUUCAAAACAAAACCCUUCUCUCUCUCUCUCUCUCUCUCUCUCUCUCUCUCGCUUACGACGGGAAGCUUCUGCGGGAGCGAGAAGCCGCUGCGCGAUGAAGCAGAUCGGGUUCCGCGGCGCGGCGUCGUCCCCUGCAACUCCCGGAGCAACCGGGGACCCCCGGAACCCUAGCCGGACCCCUCUGCCGUCGGAGGUGGCGCCGUGACGCUCGGCCCCGCGCAGCUGCUUUAUAUUUGUUUUUCUUUAUUAUGGGUAUAUGAGAUGAGGCGAGGUAAGAUCGAGGUGAGGUGAGGUGAGGCGAGGCGAUCGGCGUUGACGCCGCCGAAGCCGCCUUGCUGUCUGCCGCUGUUGCCGGCAAAGCGGCCACCGCCGUCCUCAUCAUCUAUUUCAAUUGUUUCAAUUUUGCACCUCCACCAACACACCUAGAAAAGAAGAAAGAAAUAAAAAAAAAUACAAAUUAAGAAGUAAAAGAAAUGAGAGUACAGAGAAGAAGAAAACAGAGAAGAGUAACAAAAGGAAAAAGAAAAAAAAAGGAAGCAUGCAUGGCCCUCUCUUCUAUUCUCCAAUUUUUCGAGUUCAUGAGAUGUUCGUUUCUAUUCUAUUUAACAAAUAAAUGAUCUGAGAUUGGAUUCAUCAUUCCACAGUUAAUAUAGGAUAAAAUGGCAAUUGAGGAAGAUGAAGAACCAGAACAUAUAAAAUUUGAUGCAAGAACUAAACUAUUUAGGAGAGUAUACAAAGUACAGGUGUACGAAGCUAAGCUCUCGAUUCUUAAUAAAACAGAAAGAAGAAAAGAAAAUUAAAAGUUGUGAAUCGAUUGAGAUAGAUAAUAUAUAUAUAUAUAUAUAUAUAUAUAUAUAUAUAUAUAUAUAUAUUGCAAGCUCUUAAAAACAGCAGAAAAUUUUAGAAUGGAACGAAACAUACCUGAAUCUCUGUGAUGUCGCAGACGCAAAUCUGCCCCUUGUAGAAGAUUGUAAUCUGCUUAUUCUACUGCUGCUUCUCUUGACACUUCUCUUUUAUUUCGAAACAUCUCGCAUCGACAAAAACAUCAAUUAUAGUAUCAUCAUCAAAUAAUCUAUAUAUCUAUAUAAAAAGAUUAGAAAGAAGUAAACAUCAUGCAUGACCUUAAUUAAAGAGAUCAAAAUUUAUGAGAAUAUAAUGAAUCUCACACACAUAUAUAAAAGCCACCAAGGAAUUGCUUCCAUUCACCACCUAUUUAGCCAAUCCUACCAUUUAUUACAUAAAAGCCACCAAGAACUAAAAAGAAGAAAUCCCUCCUUUCCUCUUCACACCAGCAGCAACAGAGCGGAAGCGGCCGCGGCGGCCUUGGCGGCGGCGGCCUUUCUGACGUAGCUCACACGCUCCCACCGUGUCUGCAGGCGCCAAGCACGGCUAAGGCCCGAGAUGGCGAGCUGCGGCCGCGGCCCUGCCCGGCCUGGCUCGAGAUGCUCGCGAAGAUUCCCAGCCGGAGCCGGCGCUCAAAUCCCCGCGGUGUGACUCGACCAACACCAAGUUCUGCUAUUUCAACAACUACUCAAUCUCGCAGCGCCUUACUUCUGCAAGACCUGCCGCCGCUACUGAUCCGCGGCGACACCCCAACGUCCCUGUAAAAAUUAUUUUUUAAUUUUUUAAUUUAAUUUUUUUAGGGUACGUGAGAUGUUUACAGUAGUUUAAAAAAAACUGGCCUCCGUCCGUCUCGUCGUCGUCGUCGUCGUCGUCGCGGUCGUCGUCGGCGGCGGCGCGGCGGCUCGGGGUCGGGGCAUAACGCGCGCACGACGCCGACUCCGGAGGAGCCGCCCGUGUGGAACUCGUCAUGGCGGCGAUCAAGCGGUCCGCAGGCGAACCAGCGGCGCAACCCGGACCUUCCACCUCUACCAGCAGCAAGCGCGCGGCGGCGGCGGCGGCGUCGUCGAGCUCAACGUUCUCGGGUGAAGGUGGAGCUGCAGCAGUCGGUGCUCGCGAUCCUCGACGACCCGUGUGUGAGCCGCGCCGCGGGGAGGAAAAAAUCGGGGGUGGGUGGGGUGUGGGGGAGGGGGGGGGGGAGGAGAGAGAGAGAGAGAGAGAAAAAAUCUUGGGGCGGAGAGGGCGGGUGGGGACAGAGAGAGAGAGAGAGAGAAAAAAAAUCUGUGGUGGGGGGAGAGAGAAAGAGAGAGAGGGGUGGGGAGAGAGAGAGAAAAAAUCCGUGGUGGGGGAGAGAGAAAGAGAGAGAAAAAAAAUCUGGGGUAGAAAAAAAUCUGAGGGAGAAAAAUCAAAUACCACAAACACAGGUGCGGAGACGCCACGUGGAAUGGUGAGCAAAGAGACCUGCCACAUAGGAUUUGUAGAAAGUGUCAAAUAGUAUAGUUAAUAGAUUCUCUUCACUUUGGAGGUCACCAUAGUUUCUUUUAUCUAUCUUUUACAAGAUAGAUGGGAUUAUUUGAUGAAUAAGCAAGGAUUGGUUGGAGGUGAUGAGGAGAUUAGACCUAGAUUAUAUAACAUUUCCAAACUUGAUCAAAUAGCUAUUAGGUCAUAGAGAAUUUGAAUGGUUAUUUCUUUUUCAAAAAUCCAUAUUUUGCCUCCUUAAAAUUUCAAAAAUAUUUUUAGAAAAUACAAUUUAAAUAUAGAGGGCGAAAUGACCAAAUUGUCCUUACCUUUUCUAUGCAACAACUUGAAAUAUUGAGGAGGUAAAAUGUCGGUUUUUAAAAGUUAGGAAAGAAAAGUGAAAAACACGAGUGUUUAUAAUUUUUUUUAUAAUAAUUUGGUCAACAAAAUUGACAUGAUCACAAGUAAAAAAAAAUGUGGGCUAAUAAAGGCCUAUAGGCAGGGGUGAAAAGCAAAUUGGGAAGCGAAUAUACGUCGAAUGCUAAAUUUUUAUUAUCAUAUCCGACAAAAACGAAUUUUGAUUUAGAUAUGAGCUGCAUUUGUAUUCGAAAAAUAACAUAUAUUAAUUAACGCACAUAUAUAAAUACGAAUUAGAUUUUUUUUUUUUUUGAGAGAUAGAUAGCACGCUACCCGCUUCGUUUAUUUCAUUUAGAAAUAAAUUUAGCUAGAAAUGUGAAUCAACUAGGAUUUGAACCUGGGUCUCGGAUACUAACCAUCAAGCCCUUUGCCACAUGCUCUAAAGACAGUCGGUAAAUAUGAACUAGAAUUAGCGCAAAUAUGACACAUAAUACAAUUAAAGAUUCAAACACAUGUUCAAAUUUCGUAUAUCAAUAUUUUAUUCAAUAAAUUUUAAUAUUAAAAAUUUUACGAUUAAACACGAAAUAAAAUAAAGAAAAAUAUGAUAGAAAACCACUUUGUCCCCUAUAAUAUAUAUUAAUAUAUUUUUUUUUAUCUCUUAUGAAUGAAAGCGAUCAAAUAUGAUCGGAUUUUUUAAGAAACCAUAUUGCAUCCAUGUAUUUUUUUAUUUUCUUUUGAGACGCGAAUUCGGAUACAAAUAUAUGUGGAAUGCUAACUUUUGCCAUCUAUUUGUGCGUCUUAUUAAAUUCGGUGUUGGAUUUGAUCGAAAUUUAUCUUUAACCACUCUCACCCCUAUCAAGGGGUAAAAUGAAAUUUUAGACACAAUUUAUUAAUUUUGAAUUGGUUUUUAUUUAGGGGCAUUCAAAAAUAUUUCUAGCAUUUAUGGGGGUAUUCGUGGAAUUUUAAAUUUUGAAGGGGCAUAGAUGAAAUUAUAAUUUUUUUCAAAGGGCAUUUACGAAAUUAUCUCAAUUAUUAUUGUAUGCUAUAUUAGGGGACAUUUGGAUUGCGUUAUUUACAAUUUCUAGGUAUUAAAAGAUUAAAAUUGUAUAAUUUUUAUAUUUGGUUCGUACAGUCAUUUCAUCAAUGUUAAAAUUAUAAGAUUAGUGUGUUUGAUUUAAUAAUAAAAUUCCAGCAAAAUUCCUUCAAUCCUAAAACGGUGCUCACGUCGAUGCCUCCUCCGUGUCCGUCGUAAACAUGUUCGACAAAAUGCCCCAACCAAAUUCAACCUACAUGUUUACCACAACCACCUCACUCUACAGAGCACCUCACAGCACCAAGGCUCCACAGAUCUUUAAAACACAUUAACCCACCCCAAAGCCCAGAUUUUUUUUAAAAAAUUCCAUGAUAGCCCGAUUCAUGCGCAAUUCGCACAAUUCGGAAGCUCUAAAGCGGUUCAAGCAGUUUCAGAUUUGUAAAUUUGUCCCAGAUGAGUUUGUGCUCGCAAAAGCGCUUUCCAUCGCUGCCGACACUCAUGCAUUUGAUGAAGGAGCCCAAAUCCAUGCUUUUGUGGUUAAAAAGAAUCUACCGAUGGAUGUCGCCGCGAACAAUUCACUCCUCAAUUUGUACUUCAAAUGUGGUAAUGUAACCUAUGCAGAGAAGGUGUUUGAUGUAAUGCCUGUGAGAGAUGUGUAUUCGUGGACUGUGAUGGUUUCUGGGUAUUUAGUGAAUGGAGCAGUAGAGAAGGCUGCGGAGUUGUUCGACACAAUGCCGUGUAGAAACACGGUUUCUUGGAACGCGAUGAUCAACGGAUACCAGAAAGAAGGGUGUUAUGAGAUUGCGUUGGUGCUCUUUAACAAAAUGCGGGUGCAAGGCGAAGUUCCUAAUAAGUUUACGUUUCUCGCUGUUCUUAAGGCGUAUACUUGUCUUCAAUGGUUAGAGAAUGGUAAGGUAGUUCAUAGUUUGCUAGUGAAAUCGGGGUGGUUAGAGAACGCCCUUGUCGUGUGCACGUUGAUGGAUAUGUAUGCCAAAUGCGGUGGUCUUAUGGAUGUUCGUACGGUUUUUGAAGAGAUUAAAGAGCACAAUGUGGUCUCGUGGUCGAUAUUAAUGGCGGCUUAUGCUCAAAAUGGCAAUAUUUUGGAGGCUGAAUGGAUUUUUCACGGGAUGAUGGAAAGGAAUGUGAUUGCUUGGAAUGUCAUGAUUUCUUGUUAUGUGAACAAUGGUAUGGAAGAUAAAGCAUUAAAUCUCUUUAUCGAAAUGAUCAACGGCGAAAUAAGUCCAAAUUGCUUUACUUUUACGAGCCUCCUUAGUGGGUGUUCAAGCAAUCGAUACAUAAGAAUUGGUGCGACGAUUCAUGGGUCUGUGGUGAAGAAAGGGUUCGAUUCGGAAACUUCCAUUGGAAAUGCUUUGAUAACCAUGUAUGGUGAGCAAGGAAAUGAGAGAGACGCUCGUCUCGUGUUCGACACAAUGCUUUUGUAUGAUGUUGUUUCGUGGACAGCAAUGGUGGCUGCUUAUGUUUGCAAUAGCAAUGUCAACGAGGCUUGUGCUAUUUUCAUUAGGAUGAGAGAGAAAAACCUGAUAUCCUGGAAUACGCUGAUGUUCGGGUACCUUCAAAAUGAUAAAAACUCGGAAAAGAGCUUCAUAGAUGCAACAAACAAAAGAUCAGCGCUGACGAUAUAUUAUGAGAUGGAACAGUCAGAUAUUAAGCCCGACCACUUCUCGUACAACUGCGCUCUGAGUGCUUGUGCUACUGUCAGUGCUCUGGAACAGGCCAGGGCAAUUCACUGUAGAAGUACCAAAAGAGGGUUUGAUUCUGACGUGGGAGUAGGGAAUGCGCUAAUCUCCGUAUACGGAAAAUGUGGAUGUCUCGCUGAAGCAGAGAGGGCAUUUCAGAGUAUGAAGAACCACGAUAUGAUCUCGUGGAAUGCUCUACUAACGGGAUAUUCGCAAAAUGGAAGAGGAAAUGAAGUACUAGAUUUCUACAAUAAGAUGCACGAGUCGAGAGUGGAGCCAAACCAUGUAACUUUUAUAAACUUGUUAUCGGCUUGUAGUUACUUGGGCGAUGUUCAGAAAGGUAGGGAGUACUUUAAAUCGAUGAAGGAUUACGGUAUAAGUCCUACAAAGGAGCACUAUGCUUGCAUGGUGGAUCUUCUCGGACGAGCAGGGCUUCUGCGAGAAGCAGAAGCUGUAAUCAGAAGAAUGCCGGUGGAGCCAGAUAGUGCUAUAUGGGGAGCACUUCUUAGUGCCUGUAAAAUCCAUGGAGAUCCUGUGAUCGGUGAAAGAGCAGCUGAUGAGAUUUUUCAUUUGGAGCCGGAUAGUUCUGCCGCUUACAUUGCACUUGCUGAGACUUAUGCUAAAGCUGGAAUAUGGAAAGGUGUAGCCCAAGUGAGGACACUACUAAGAGAGAAGCAGCUUUUGAAAGAAGCUGGAUGCAGCUGGAUUGAGGUGAGGAACCAAAAGCACUUCUUUCUCGCGGGCGACACCGGUCACCUGUUAAAGGACUCUAUACAUGCAACACUCUGGAGCCUAUACAAAAACAUGUUCGAAAGAAUAAGUAUACAAGAUGCUCGCCCCCCUUGAAAUUUUCGAGGACAUUUGAUCUAAUUCACGAUUACUGUUUUACAUAUAAACCCCUGCAUAGCCUGAAUUUUCACAUAAAACCCUUGCAAACUGAGUUUCUUACGAGAGCAUAUAUGAGAUUAAGGUUUAACGGGAAUAAGUAUAAAAAUUUCUUUUAUGAUAUAUAUAUUUAUGGGAAGAGCUCCACAUAGCCAGUUAAUACAGCAACAGCCAAUAUGACAAAGGGGGGAAGGAUAACAAAUGCGCCGAUUGUUGCGAAGAAAACAGAGUCAUCUCUACGACCCACUUCAUUGAGGUAUGCCUGACGCUUGAUGUUUCUUCUCUGCGAUAUUGUUAAGGAAUUGAUACUUGCUUUUAACUUUUUACCCAGUGGAAUCGUGAACUCAUCAUUUCUGUCUCCUGUAAGUUCAGAUAGUUGCUCCCGAAUCGUAGGUAGCUGAGGCUCAUUGAUGCUUAUGGGGCCUAAAAUAAGAAAUUCGGAAGAUAAUUUAAUAUGGCAAAGAGUUGAUGGAUUGAUGCUAAUGUGAAGAAGGUCAAUACAUUCAUACCACUAACAUUUGAGGUCGAGGAUGUGAGCUGUUCCAAUAGAUCCAACUGGGUGCGCGCAGAAGACUCUAAAAGGUACAAAUUACUGACAUUAAUUAUGUAAUAAUAAAAAGAACAAGUGACAACAAAUAUUUGAAAAGAGGGUUAAUCAAACUAGUUGCAAUUGAUGAUUUAUUAUUGUGAAUAAUACAAAGAUGGUCGAUGUGUGUUAAAUAAUAAGCGCUUCAGGAUUUCAAGCAAAUGUGGCAAUAAGCAGGACAGGUUUGUUUAUUUUCCAAGUUUAUGGAUGGCCAAUAAAUGAAUAGAAAAGAAAAGCCAAAAUAAAGUACCUUAUUUUCAUUUAGUUUUCUGAUACUCAUAUUGGAUUAGUGCACUUGAUCAUGCCUAUUUAUGAUUGUUAAUCCAGCUUGGUAAUAGAGAAAAUUGCUUAACGAAUUUUUUUUACUAGGAUACCAACAUGAGUUAUUCGGACAUUGAAAUGGCAUUUUAAUGUAACAUUUUUCUGAUUUGGUUUUGUAAUUUGUGCGCUAAGUGAUAUGAUUUGUGCGUGCAAUCAUUUUUUCUGAUGCUUUGUUGUCAAAAUUCUGAAGAAGGCAAUAGGCUGUUAGUCAUUAACAUAUUUAGUUGGAAAGCUGAUAGAUGUAUGGUCUUUAAUCCUAGAACUUUUUUCAAAAUCAAAUGCUUGAAUUUGAAUAUUAAAAGGGCAGUAUAUACGCAACUAGAGUAUCAAAAAACAGGAAUGUUAGUCAUUAGCCUAUUUGUUCAUUUCCUCUCUUGGUUUGGUUUUCUGUAGGGUCUAUGUCUAAUUCUAUUCCUCUUUUGCAAUAGAAAGGAACAAAUAGAACAUGAAGCAUGCGGAAUGGAUAAAGAAAAGCUUCAAAUUUCACAUGGAAAGGAUGAGCAAAAUGAACAAAGUAAAGAUCAUGAUCAUGCAGAAUAAACAGGCAAAAUAUAUGCAGGUAGGAGAAGUAGCUACUUGAAAAGGAAUCAACUGAGAAAGCUAAAAUUAAUAAGAAUGGCGAAGUGAGACUUCGUAAUAUGCUGAUGAUGGCUAAUUUGUGAACUUCCCUGUAGCAGUUAUUUCAAUUGGUAGAUCAAGGUACUGAUUUUAACUUACUAUGUGAUUAUACUAUAAUUCUGAACCUUUCUGUCAGUUUGAUUUUGUAACAGUAAUAGAGGAAAUAAUUCUGAUAAACAAACCAUAACUGAAAUCACAUAUAAAUUAUCUAUUGAUACUCAUGAAAUAUGGACCUGCUAGACUUGGUUCUUCUCUGACACCUUCUGAUUGAACUGCUUUACAGGGGCAAAAGUGCUUUUCUGAGGAGUUAUGGGGCCUCAAUGGGAUUGAGUAGCUCUUUGUUGGGAACCUCUCUAGAGUCUGAAUCCUCAGAGGUGAUGUUGGGAGAGGGGAGGAAGGAGAGAAGUUCCAGGCCAUGGAUUCUUUUGGAAGUUGUGAGAGGUUUCUUUUUCUCCUCUUUUUGCUUAACACAUAAACUUAUGUUUCUUUCAUUUAUAUGUAUUUGAGAGAAUUUACCUGGUUAUGUUGAGCUUACUGUGUGGACCACAUAAAAGCUCAAAGGAGGAGCACCACAUAUUUGUGGCCUUAUUUAAGGUUUAAAGGGCUUCUGGAGGAAGGCCGGGUCCCCUAGACCUCUACUAGAAUCUGAAAAAUUAUUAUUGACUCAAUACAAUUUAAUUUGUAAAUUUACUGCUAAAUCUUUAACCUUCACUCUUUAUCAUCUUGAUGAGGAAAAAUUCUAGAAUACAACGUGUAUAUUGGUGACAUGGCGUAACAAGCCAAUCAAAAAUCUCCUUUUAAAGAUAUAUAUCCUAUCAUGAUUAUAAAAAAGUAUUUUUAUUGUACUUUUGUUUGAAAAGAAGAAAUAUGGUUGGCUUGUUAUUAAUGAUGUGGUUCAAGUGUGAUAGUGUAGAAUUCCUCCUUAAUGAGACCUAUGAAGUACUCAUGUAAGAGACGUCUCCUAAGGUUGUGCCUCCGUGUACGCCAUGAAUUAGCGACUUAGUACAAUUUUAAGACAAUUACAGUUGCAGAGAGAAUGUGUUAUAUAUAAAUUUUGCGUCAUGUCUUAUAGAUUUUAUUGGUUUGAUUACGCUACAAAUUUUGCGACCCCACUAUAUAUAUGUAGAAUCAUAGUUUUCAUAUAUUUGUGUUUCAAUUUUUUUGAUCUAGAAUUACAAGCAAUACUAUUUAUACAUUCCAAAAAAGAGAAUAAAUUUUGCACUCUUCAAUCAGAACUCAUGUCACUUUCUUAUUUUGUCAAUAUUUUUAAAAUAUUAAUUAAUUAAAGGUAGCGUUUGGUUCGGCUAUAAACAAGAAUUAGCUAUUACAGAGAUAGGUACAAAUAUGAGGAUAAGAAAAAUAGCGUUUGGGUGAAAAUUGGGUUGUUUCCGGGGAUAAGAAAAAUAGCGUUUCGAUAGAUAAUAUGGAAUAAAAAAAGGCUAAAUUACAAAAAAUUCUCUUGUAAUAACCCGUUUUUUCACUUUCCCUCCCUGAUAUUUAAAAACCUACACUUUGCUCUCCUGUAAAAUAAAAAAUGUGCACUUCACCCUCUACCGUUAGGGUUCCGUCAGGGUUUCGUUAAAAAAUAUAUUUUUAUGCUGAAAAUACCCCUCCGCCAUCUCCCUAUUGCUUCGACUCCCUCCGGCUCACCACCUCGCCGCCGCCUUGCCGCCUCGCAGCCUAGCUGCCUCGCCGUCCUCCACUGCCUCGCCCUCACCCACAUCCCCUUCGCCGUCCUCCGCCGCCUCGCCUUCGCCUUCUUUGCCCUUCUCCUACUGUCGCCCAUCUCGGUUUUCUCCUACUGUCGCCGAAAUCGAGGGCGGCGAGGGUGCAGAAGGAGAAGGGGAGCAGGUGGAGAAGAAAAUGGAGAGAAAUCGCGGCUGAUUGAGGUAGGAAUCGCGGUCGAACGAAGGGGCGGCUGAGAAAGAUGGGGAAGAAGACGACAAUGGCGAGAGGCAAAAUGGUCAUUUUACACACCGUAACUCUCCUGUGAACAUUUUUUAUUUUACAGGGGGGCAAAUUGUAGGUUUUUAAAUAUCAGGGGGAGAAAGUGAAAAAGCGGAUUAUUACAGGAGGGUUUUCUGUAAUUUAGCCUAAAAAAAAUAAUGGGUAGUUUUAUAUAGAAAAUGGAGGUGUUGGUGGGGAUAGUUAUAUCCGGUUAUUAUAAGUAAUCGAGAACUACUAUUCUUGGGUAAAAAAUUAGCGUUUGGUUAUAAAGGGGAUAAGGGGUUAUUCCUAUCCCUAUCCCUAUCCCCCAUCCAAACGAUGCCUUAGCGUUUGGUUCUGAUAUAAGCAAGAACUAGUUAUUACAGGAAUAUGUACAAAUAUGGGGAUAAAGAAAAUAGCGUUUGGAUGAAAAUUGGAUUGUUCCCAGGAAUAAGAAAAAUAGCGUUUGGAUAAGAUAAUAUGGAAUACGAAAAAUAGUGGGUAGUUUUAAUGAAGGUGUUGGUGGGGAUAGUUAUACCCGGUUAUUAUAAAUAACCGAGAACUAUUAUUUUCGGGUAAAAAAUUAAUGUUUAGGUAUAAAAGGGAUAAGAGGAUAUCCCUAUCCCUAUCCCCUAUCCAAACGGUGCCGGGCCUAGAAGUAUUAAAAAAUUUGUAAACUGUAGAAUUAGAAGUGUAAGAUGUACAUUUUUUUUUUUUUUUUUGAGAUAUAACAGUUGUUUGGUUCUCCGGAAAAUUAUGAAAAGAAGUUUUGCAAGAAAAUUUUUUUAAAAUUUUUAGCCUAUUUGGUUUGAAGAAAAAUAAAGUAUUUUUGAAAAAAAAAAAUCAUAUUUCAUGGAAAAUUAGUAAUUUUAUUUUCUGAAUUUUUUUAGAAAAAUAAAGAUACUAGUUUUCAUAAAGUAUGAAAAAAAGAUUUUUAUAAAAAAAGAUUUUUCUUAGAAUCAAAUGACGAAAAACUAAAAAAAUAAAUUUUUUUAGAUUUUUUUUGGCAUACUUUUCUUAGUAACCAAACACUUUGAUUUUCCCUUAAAAAAAAUAGAAUCAAAUUUAUCUCUCAAAAAAAAAAAAUUACCAUCAAAUUAUAUCCCAAAAUAUUAGCCUAGUUCUAAACAAGCAGACCAUUAAGCACCCGAAUCUUUUUAUAGCCCGGAUCCGAACCCGUUUGCCCUAACUUUUCCCUUCCCCUUUCCUUUCUUCUUUAAUUCUUCUUCUUCGUCCCGGAUUGCCAUCCCCUCCUCCCGGUAACGAACACCAUUACUAGGGUUUCGAGGUUCCCUCAACACGCAAGAGAGAGAAAGAGAGAGAGAGGACGAGGCCAUGGCGGGGGAGGAGGAGAGGAGGAAGCGGGUGGAAUCGCUGGGGUGGCUAACGGAGUCGGCGGUGAUGCCGAAGAAGCACAAGGCGAUCGAGGGCGUGGGCGCCUCUUCCAUCGUCGAGCUCAAGGCUCAGCUCUACCGCACCCAGGAGGAGGCGCGCAAGGCCAAGGACUCCUCCGCCGCCUCCGCCGACGAGUUCCACCGCGCCCGGAAGAAGCCCCUCCCCUCCGACCUAUUCUCCCAGAAGAACUCCGGCGUCGAGAGCCGCGCUCGAAGGUGCGACUCGUUUUCCUCCACCCUUUUGUUUGAUCCGAGUUCCUUUUAUGAGCUUGAUUAUGAUUUAGUUUCGUGUUGUGAAUAGUGGGAAAGAUAGGGUUCUGCUUGGAGAGUUGCAAUUUUUGGAGCCAAAUAAGCAUUUUGGCUUCAUAAUUAGAAUAUGGUUUGUCUCAGUUUUAUGGAGUUUUGAUGCAUAUAUAUUCCAUUCAUUAGGGUUAAUAAGCAUUGACAGGAUCCUUGCUACUUGAAGUGCUCUAACCGUCCAAAGUUUGCAAUGUCUUUCGCCGGGGAUUUUAUGAUUUAGAUCUUGUUUGAGUGCAUAUGAAAUUGAUCUGCAACUGUAGCUUUGCAGAUCUUUUGCUUCUAAUAUAAAGAAAGCCGAAAUGAGAAGAAAUACACAGAAAAUCUGCCAUAAGAAUUCAGAUUCUGCAAUAAGGAGAUGCUUGGUGUUAUCUGGUGCUUAUAAUGUGAUCUAAUUGCAGAAAAUUUGGAAAUUGUAGGUUCUUUUUGUCGCAAAGAAUACCAAAGAAUACUAUUGAUCUCUUUCUCCCGCAUCCACGAUAGAAAAACCAACAAAAACAUAAUCUUCACUCCAUUUAGAAUCAUACUGAUCUUAGUAGAGCCAGUUAUUAGGAGUAAUUUACAGUUUCUACAAACUAAUUGAUCAAUUAUUAAACCAGUUUAUAUGGGGAUGCAAAUUUGAAAUUUUGAUUGAAAGUUGCUUGGUUCCUACUGUAGAGAGAAUGAGAGAUUGAUCCAACAGGCUCCUAAUUUGUGUAGGAGACAUACCAAGAGAAAAUUCAUUAUAAUAUGAGAAUGUAGAAUAAACACUACAUGGACCCAGUAGGCCCCUAACAACCAAGAGAAAAUUCAUUAUAAUAUAAGAAUUUAGAAUAAACACUAACUGUUUAGUUCCACCUUUCCAAAAUAUCCACUCAGAAGAGUGAGUACCCUUAUUUUAAUAAUGCAUAGCUACUCCGCUUUGGUUUCGUUGCUUCUCAAGGCAUUGCUUUUUCAACUUUGAAGCUUAGUUCAUUUUCCUAAUGAAUGAAGCUGGUAGCUUGCUACCUUACUAUCAAAAAAAAAAAAAAAAAUAUCACAGCUACUCUGCCACUAACUGACUUUCUUUCUUUACUAAAUCGCAAGUAGUAUUUAUCUGCCAAAUUGAUCUACUUUUUCUUUAUUUUGAUUUUUAAAUUUUCCGCACCUUGUUAAAUCGUUUAACCAUAUUGAUGAUAUACUCCAUGUCUAAGAAGUUGUUAAUAAUGUUUUUGAAACGGCAGGGACAAGUUGGAGAUGAAGGCUAUUAAGGAUGGCUCAGUUAGUUAUGCAGCCUUGGAAAAGAAGGUGGAGAUUUAUGAGAAACUCGCAAGAGGCGAGCUCCCUGAUGAGGAAGAGAAGGAGAAGUAUUGUGUGGACUUCUUCCGCAAGGGUCUCGAGCAAGACGAACCUCAGCAGCCGGAAUUACAUGGCAAUACUAGUGAUGAUGUAGUAGAAAAUCAAGAUGGUGACACUGAUGAUUCAUUGCUAAAUUCCAAACUAUUUGGUCUUGGUCGUGCAAGUGCCAUAAUAGAUAAUGAUGAGCAUAAGCGCUUUGUGAGGUAUGAUUUCCUCGAUAUAAUCUGUUAGAUCUAUUGGUACCACAAUUUCCCUCUUUUAAUCUGAGGUUCGUUUUUAUGUUUAAUUUUUAAGUCCACCAGAUUCUGAAUUCUAUUAACAUAGAUCUUUGAAUAGAAGAGCAUGUCAUUUGCGACGUUUUUUAAGAAACUUGUGGAAUAGAAUAAUAAAGUUGGCUUUUUCAACUCUUUUAAAGUUGGUUAAUUCCAGUAACUAUUCUUGCACCAGUCAUUAGCAACAAAAGUGCUUCUUUCUAAUAGAAUAUUUACAAAUUGUUAUGAAGCUAGAAAAAUUAAAUUCUGAACAAGUACCAUGUUUACAUCUGUUCUUUCAUUUAACACUCUUUGUGUAGAUAAAUGUGUGCCGGCCCCCCAUUCCAUUCUGCUAGUCGAAAUCAGAAAACUUGCUCAUCUUUCUUAUAGCAAAAUGUAUAUUUGGGAUUAAAAAAUGUAUUCCUUUUUGUUAAAUUGCAAUAUAUUUUUUCUUUUUGGGGCAUACAGUUUCAAUAUUUUAGUCACUUUCUAAUCACUAUGAUGUGAAUAUCUACUAACAGGGAAGUUCAUGAAGAGGCAAGCCAGGCAAGGGAGAAGGCGACAACUCUCCGAGCGCGUAGGCAAGAGCAGGAGGCCGCUCGCAGAGAGAAAUUGCGGCAGGCAUAUCUCAAAAAACAGCUCGACAAACUGAUCUCAUCAAAACAAACAGCUGCAAUUAGUAACAACAACAAACCGAUUGUUGAAACCGAAGGAGUCGGUCCAAAGUAAUUCGAAUGUAUAUAAUAUUUGUUUUUAUUUUUUUUUAAAUGUAGCGCCGUCGCAGUAGCGUUUCGCUAUUAGCUCUUUUAGCAUCUUUUGCCCAACGAAACGAAUUGUAUUUGGAGGGCAAGGCCUGUAGAUUAUCCUGAUUGUAGUCCCAAUUUUUGGUGUUCUUCGUACGGAAAGUUAAAGCGAAAAUUUUGUUAACUUUUCUGGAUGAAUGAGUGUAAGAACUUUGCCGUAGAAAACAAAAACUAGUUAUGUCGUUAUCGAUUUGUCGUAGAAAACAAGUUAUUUUUAUUUUUAUUUUUAUUUUUAUCGCUAAAGAGAACUUUGCCGUAGAAAACAAAAACUAGUUAUUUUUAUUUAUUUUUAUUUUUAUUUUUAUUUUUAUUUUUUCGUCUUUGUCCGGCUUUUCAUCUCUUUAGAGGUCUUGUUGUUUCUUCCAUAUAGCUAAGUUCAUAUUCUGAAUGAAUGAAGCGGGUAGUGUGCUACAUUUUUCUCAAAAAAAAAAGUUAUGUAGUUAUCGAUUUGUUUUUCUCUGAAUAAUGCAAGAGUUGUAUUAUAAUUCAUUGCAAAAGAGAGUGUCCAUCAUCUUUUCACUUUUUACACUAACGUAAAGGAGGAUUAUAAAACAAGUAUUUGUAAGAAGUAUAAAUUUUGUGAACUUUUAUCAUCUUUUCACUUUUCGAUUGGGCUAAAAAUGUCCAAAUUUAGUAAUAAUCUAUAAUUGGUUUAAAUUCUGUGCACUUUAAACUCCAAAAAACGAACCUAUGCUGUAUCUUGUUGUCCCCCACUUCCAUGCUCUCCCCCAAAUCUUUUUCCAAAAUUCGACCGUUGCGACGACACGUGCUCGAACCAAUCUUUUAAAUCACUCUCUCUCCCCCCACCCCGCCGAAGAGUAGCAAGCAGUAAACGCAGCACGCGUAAUCACCCCCCUCUUCCUUAACAUUCUCUCCAUUAUUCCCCACUCGACCGUUGCUCGCGCUCCUUCUCCCCCUCUCCCUCUCCUCUCUCUCCUCUGUCGCUAAAACUCCAAGCUUUCAUGGCGACGAGCUCCGUGGACGACAAUGGCGGAGGAGGAGAGAGAACGAACGAUGCCGCGGAGGCUGCGCAUCCGUACGACUUCCAUGUGUCGGGCCCUCGCAACCUCUCCUCCCCCAAUUGGAGGGAUCUCAUCCGAUCCAGCUGGUUCGAUUUUCCAAUCCUCCUCCUCCUCCUCAUCCUCAAAUUAUACCAUUUCGAUCGACACUUACAUUUUGUUUUUUUGUUUUUUUUUUUGUUUUUAAUCAAUUUUCUUUCGAUUCAAGUUUGGAUCUUGCGACAUGGUUGCUGAGAAUUUGGCAUUUUAGGGUUUUGUCUAUCUUUAGGGUUUCUCCCCUUUUGCUUUACUUUGGUUUAUUUUUACUGAGAAUUAAUACGAAGAAGCGGAUAGGGAAUUGCGAAUUCAAGAUUCUCUUAGAUUGUUUUUGUCUUAUUUCCUUUAAUGCAAUGCAGUUCAUUGCCUCAAAAAUCGUUUCUUGUCACCUGUUUCAACUUUGUGAGACGUUGUUACCAUUUUCGAUUGUGUUACAUAUUUAACCUUUUUGACAUUUUGAUCCUCCAACUUUCAAUUUUAAUCUUAGGCACCUCAAAACUCUUAAAAGAGUUUAUUAGAGGAUAAAUAUAGUCCUUUUGGAAGUUAUCAGAUGACCACUCUGUUUUUUUGCCUAUUUGUUAACGUUCGCGACUUUAGACCUGAAUGAAACAUGCAACUUGUUUACUUGUUAACGUUCGUCCUUCCGAAUCGUAGGGUUCGAAUCGCUUUUCAAUAUAUCAGCUGAUAUUUAUUAUGCUCUCAAAGAGGUUGAGUGUGUUCGUGGAACAUCUGGGUAUAGUCAAAAGCACUCUUUUAUCAAAUGUUAUUCACAUGUAAUUUACACUGGAUUUGCAGGAAGGAUCCAAAUUACAGGAGGAUGGUCAUAGCAUGCUUCAUUCAAGCAGUUUACUUGCUGGAAUUAGAUCGACAAGAGAACAAGAGCGAAGGCGACGGCCUCGCGCCCAAAUGGUGGAAGCCCUUCAAGUACAAGCUAUCUCAAACGCUCGUCGACGAAAGAGACGGUUCCAUAUACGGCGCGGUCCUAGAAUGGGACCGAACCGCCGCUCUAUCCGAUUUUAUAGUGAUAAGACCAAGCGGCGCGCCAAAAGCGGUACUUGCGGUUCGAGGCACCCUUCUGAAGAGCCCGACGAUCAGAAGAGAUCUCGAAGAUGAUCUUCGUUUCCUCGCGUGGGAGAGCUUGAAAGGUUCGGUUCGAUUCGUCGGUACUUUAGAAACAGUGAAAGCUUUGGUUGGUAAGUUCGGUAGCAGCAAUGUGUGCAUCGGCGGGCACUCUUUGGGGGCCGGAUUCGCUCUCCAGGUCGGCAAAGCGAUGGCCAAGCAAGGUGUUUUCAUAGAGUGCCAUUUGUUCAAUCCGCCUUCCGUUUCGAUAGCCGCGAGCGUGCGGAGUAUCGGCGAGAAGGCGAGUAAUCUGUGGGGCAGAGUUAAAGCGAGCUUGCCUUCGAAGUGCGAGGGAGAGGAGAAGGUUUGCGGGAACGAAGGGAAGAGGCUGUGCACAGAGAUGAAGAAAUGGGUGCCGCAUUUGUAUGUAAACAGCAGCGACUACAUUUGCUCGUAUUACGCUUCGAUCGAGGACGGUAGCGAUUCGGAUGGCGCGGAGGCGGGCAAUGUGCAGCAGGUAGGAGAAGUCGCGAAGCUCUUCGUGAUGUCGAAAGGGCCGCAGAAGUUUCUGGAGGCUCAUGGCUUGCAGCAGUGGUGGUCGGGGGAUGCCGAACUGCAGCUGGCUCUGCACCAUAGCAAGCUCAUCAACAGGCAGCUGAGAUCUUUGUACACAAUGCCACCAACAUCUUCUACCGCGAAAUCGUAGGAUUCGGAUUCUAAGUUUGUUUCUCGAAUUGUUUUUUCUUUUUCUUCUUUUUAAAUGCUCUUCUCGAGUAUAUGAAUCAAGAGACUUGUGUAAAAGUGUAGGAUGUAAGCAUAAAAGGGACUUUGUUUGUUCUUUGUUGAAUGAGUGGUUUUGUUAUCCUCUGGUGAUUCCUGAUACAACAAAGAGAAUAGGGUAUAUAUAUAUAUAUAUAUAUAGGCCAUGGCUACUAUACUAUUAUGAGUAUUGGAGCUCUCGUACUUAUAAGUUGUUUUCAAUGAUGGAGCUUCCGAAUCGAUGAUCUACUCCAUUAAAUAUGAUCUAGAGUAUUUGAAACUUCUAGAAAAUAAAUUUCGUAAAUUUUCGAAAUCAUAAUAAAGUCUAUCAAGUGGGCAUAAAAUGAACGGUCAAAAUCGAACGACAUCCUAAAAAAGGAUGAUCGGAUCAUUUAAUUUAAGAUCAGAGUUAUUGAUCUCUUUAUCUAUGUAGUGAAUAGAAUUUUCUAUCAAAAAUUCAACAAAUUUCGAUUCUUUUACAUUGUUAAACUAGCAAGUAUCCCAUACCGGCCGUUAAAAAUUGUCAAAUUUGUGACCUCUUGAUCGUAAGGUAAAUGAUGUCGAAAAAUUAUAAAAUUUAAUUUCUAGAAGUUUUAAAUACUGUAAAUAACGUUUAACGGUGUGGAUCAUCGAUUCGGAAGCUCUAUCAUCGAAAACAACUUAUGAGUACGAGGGUGAUCGUACUCAUAAUAGUAUAGUAGCCGGACCCUAUAUAUAUAUAUAUAUAUAUAUAUAUGUAAAAGAUUAUAACAGAGGAAUUUGUUCUGAAUUUUAGUUUUUUUUUUUUUAUUCUUUCGGGAAACGACAGCGACGCCCUUAGAGAGUCCCACCACAUGAAACUGGAACUCAAACUCAGAACCUCUUAAACCGAGCCAUAAGCUGCGUUUGGUUGCAGGGUAUUCCAGAACAAGCUGGGAUAUCCCCCAAUCAAUAUUCAAGUAAAAAAAAAAAAAAGAGGAGGAUUCUUUGUUCCAGACUUAACGGGUUGUUCAACCCAUUAAGCCUGUUCUUCUCAGCUUGGAGAACUGGCUUGAAUAACUUGGGUCCCCUAUAAAGCUUUCCAUUUUGUCCAUUAAACCCUUCGCCUCAAACGAACCAAAAAAAAAAAAGAAUUUUUCAGCUAAGUUUAUUUCUAAAUGAAAUAAACGAAACAGAUAGUGUGCUACCUAUCUCUCCAAAAAAAAGAAAUUAUAAAUUAAUAUUUAAUAAAAUAAAAUAAAAAAAUAGAUUGAAUGAUUAAUUAAUAAGUACUAAUCCAUUUUAAAUAUUUAUAUUUUUAAAUUAAUUUUGAAUAAAUUUAAAUAAAUGUCUAAAUUGAAUACUACUAAAUUAAUAUUUUCAAAAUAAUGUACAAAUAUACUUAAUUUGUAAAUUAAUUUAUUCUAAUACUUAAUUUAUUAAAUUAUAUUUAAUUAUUAUAUUCAAGGGCAAAUUUAUCAUUCUAUAUAAUUUUUAUCUUUUCAACAUCUAAUUCCAGUAUAAGCACCUAAACACUAUAAAUAAUAUUUUCUAGGAACAAACAAACAACAUCCAGACGAAAUUUAUAAUUUGUUCUAGCUUAUAUCAAGAUAUCUCCUAUUUUUGGGAACAAUAAAAAUUAUUCUUUAAAAAUUUAGUUUUCACAAUAAAAAUUAUUCUUUAAAAUUUAGUCUCACUAUUUGGAUACUGAUGAUUUGGCUACAUAAGAAUGAGUUAUAUUUUAGGGAUAGUGAAGGGAUGUAGGGCCUUGCAGUUUUAAAAACGUAUGGAAACCCCCUCAACCAUCGGCUGUUUUGAAAAAGAUCCCUCAACUUUUAGAUUUAUGUUUUUUUGAGACCCCUUCAGUUUCUAAUUUUUUUGAAUUAAAUGAAUUCGAUUAAAACAAUUAGGGGUUUUCUCAAAUUUAUUGAUAAUUUCACAAAAUUUAACAACUCUAUUUAUUUUUAAGCAAAUAAAAAUAUGCAAAUUAAAUUAUUAAUGAAGAAAAUUUGAGAGGAUUGCAUUUAAACAAAAACAAAAAAGACAAGAUGAGGGGCCAAUUUCAAAAUAGCCAAAAAGGCCUAAGGCUCUAUUUUGAAAUUGGCUACAUUUGAGGGGCUCUCCGUACAUUUUUAAAAUUUUAAAAAUAACCUCAAAUUGCGACUUUCACGAAAUUAACAACUUUUAUUUAAUUUUAAGCAAAUAAAAAUAGACAAAUUAAAUAAUUAACGAAGAAAAUUUGAGAGGAUCGCAUGUAAACAAAAACAAAAAAAAAAAUAAAGGUAAGGGGCCAAUUUCGAAAGAACCCAAAAGACCUAAAGGGUUCGUUUCGAAUUUCCCUACAUUUGAGGGGCCAAUUUCGAAAUAACUGAAGACCUAAGGGUCUAUUUCGAAAUUGCCUACAUUUGAGGGUUCUCCAUGCAUUUCUAAACAAAACUGACCUUAAAAAAGAUGGAAAAGUCUACCUGUACUCCUAUAGAAAGGUGUAUAUCCUACAACUAUCAGAUCCAAUGGCUGAUAUUAAUCCACUAGCACAGUAGCUUCUAACCUCACACCUUUUUUACUUCUUACUAAAGCUAACUUAAAUUAAACCCUACUACACUUCUCUCUCCCGCACAGCUCCUCUCGCUAUCUCUGUUUCUCGCUCUCUCUCGCUUCCUCGCUUUCUCUCGCUCCCUCGCCUCUCGUCAUCUCACGCUCUCCCCUUUCUCUUUCUCUCACUCUCGCUCGCAGGGCACUCCACUCCAUCGGGCAGAAGUUCGGCAGCGUUCGUUCCACACAUCUCGUGUCCGAAGCCGUCUCGAAGGUGUCUCUCGGCUUCGCCUUUCUCCAUUGGUAGGAGGUCGCCUCUCAACUGCUCCCCUGUCCAUCCCAGUACCUGUGACGCAUUCCUUCAGUCGUGAGCGUCCGAAAUUGGGAACGAUUUCGGAGCUAAUUCGGCCACAACCGAAACAGAUGAUUCAACUCAAACAGGGCAUUUUUUUAAAAUUUCUAUAAUCUUUUAUUUUCAAUUUUUAAUUUAAUACAAAAUGUAUAUUUUGAGGGUUUAGGGUUGCAGCUGCGGAUUGUCUUUGCGUGCUCCCAGACUUUUCGCGUCACCGAAUAUGGUGAAUAAUUUAUUUUCAGGAACACUGGGGUAUAUUGCGGAUAUAUCAUUAGUUCAUUUUUAAGAAUAAAGAAAUUAUAUAGGAUUAGGGUAGGGUUACAAGCUAUUAUGGCCAGCAUUGAUAGUAUGUUCAAAUCCAUAGACUUGGAUGAAUCUAUAUGCAAGCUUGUGGUUUAAAUCUUAAUAUAGCCGCUGAUAGAAAUAUUCACAAUCGGCAUUGACGAGUGAGCAGUUCACUAUUAGGUGUUUAGGGUUUAGAAUUUCCUUUAUGGUUCCGAAACAUGUAGGAGUUGCAAUGUACCCAUAUGGCAUAAUAUAGACAAUCCUAGGGCCAUAAUAGAACAACUCCUAUCAACGCAGGUAUUAGAACACUUUGAUCUAAUAAUAAAUAGAUGUAAAGGUUAUAUAGAACACUCUUCAUAAGUUUAUCAGUGGAAGCACUGUUUAGAAUUAGAAACAUUUCUCUUUAGUCCAGACGAAACAUAUUGUAAGCUGCCACAGAGGUAAACCAAUAGAACUGGCAGAGGGCAAGAUGGUAAAUCGAGCGACCUGAUAAAUAUUCGAUGGGACUAUCGCAUGCCAUAGGGGUCAUAAUAAACAUAUUUUUACAGUAUUACAUAAAAUUUAGCCCUCAACCGCAGUAUUCUUCUGCGAACAGAAUUGCGUGAUUGAAUGCCUGCGAGCUAUUAUAUUAGUUGUAAUCGUAUUUGUUGUCCUUUUCUAUUUACUUGUUUUCUGAACAUGCUUCUUGUUUCCGCAUCAAAUACGUCACUGUAAUUAAUCUAGUAAUAGACUAAUUUUGUGAAGAUGUGGCAUUGGAUCCGCAUCUAUACAGUCACUUUCUGGAUAAAUAAAUACACAAACAAUGCAACAGCUUUAGAUAUGUACUUAUUCCGUUACAUAGUAAAAUUGGCGUUGGCAUUUGCUAUCGAUUGAUAAAGAACGACGUAUUAAGAGUUGAACUCAUUGACCACAGCGGGCACAGACGCGGCACAGCGCUGGUAUAUUUAUUCAUUCUCAGUUAGACAGAGGUUUUUAGUUAUUAAUUCACGAAUGCACAGUAACAUCUACCUAUAAAUCGUUAAUAAAUUAACACAUUUUUUUUAGUCUUGAAACGAAAUGGUUUGCGUUCUAUUUGAGACAUCCUCAAAUCCGCUGUCGGCGCCUGCUGCGUCAAUAUUGCAUAAGGAAUAGUUAACAACAGGGUUCCAUCGAAGCUUGAUUGUGCAUUAACACAUCUUUUUGCCCGAAAGAAUCGUAAGAAACGCCUCCCCGAUCUAUCAUUGUACAUAAUGACCGGCUGCCCUCUUCCUGCUCAUAUGGUCAGGGCGAUUCUAAAGGACCAUGUUGCUACAUAUAUACUUCAUUAAUUGAGUGCAUAGUCGCAAAAGAUGAAUCUGCAAUGUUAUAGAAUUUUGCAAUUGUUCUGGUAAGUACAGUGUUGUAUGUAUAUUAUUGUGCAAUUGUGAAUGGUAACUCAGCCAGAGUUAAUUAUAAUGAUUUGAAUGUCAAUUGUGUCCAUUGUGAGUGGUCGUAUCACAGAUUUUUCAUAUAUCAUUUGAAUGUGCAAUGUGAAUUAUGACUAGGUAAUUCUUGUAUUUUUGCUUAUCAUAUUCAUUGAUUUAUUUUGUGUAAUGUGAGUUGUUUGAUAAAGAGUCUAGUUAAUUUAUCCCAUUGAUUAAUGUAUCAAUUUACCGUGAUUUGUCAUAUUUCUCCCGAUUUUAUCAUAGAUGAAUUUACCUCUAUAAUUUUAUUAUGUUGCAAAAUAAUUUAUGAGAGUUAUCGUAUCGGAGAUAGACAUUCAGAAAGUACAAUGGGCACAUGUUGAGAUUGAUGAUGUCCCUAAGUUGCGUUGAGAACGCAGUAAGUAUUAGAAGUGUCCGUCUGAACUACAACCAGACUACACGAAAGGUCAGAUCACCUUCUGUUAGCGCUCAACAUCCUCCUAUAAUCACCUAUGGUGUAUUUACUUUCCUAUAGAUUCCCAAGUGGUAAACUGUUCUAAUUUUUACGCAACAGCAAAGAAAUGGUACCAUAUAGAAUUGGUAAUAAAGCAUAGUGCUGUAUUUUGGUGGCUCAUUUAGUACUACAGAUGUUGGGUGCAUAUAAAACUAUUCCAAUUUAAGGCUAUAACCGCACAACCCAAAAGCUACCAUAUAGAAGCAAAAAUAGAUAGAAAUGGCAGGUAUAGGUAAAAAACUUAGCCCUACAGAGUUCCGAGAGGGUAAUAAACGGUUCUAAUUAACGCUAUAAGUACAACAAAGGAGACCAUAUAGAAGUGGACAUAUAAAUGUGGCAGGUAUUUCGGUGUGCUCUUUAGCCCUACAUAUGUUCCGGGGUGUGGUAUAACUGUUCCAUUUUAAGCUACAACCGCACAACCCAAGGCGACCAGAUAGUAGAUAGAUAGAAGUGACAGAUAUAUGGGUGUACUCUUUAGCACUACAGAUGUUCCGAGGUGUGGUAUAACUGUUCCAUUUUAAGCUAUAACCGCACAACCCAAGGCUACCAUAUUGAAGUAGAUAGAUAAAAGUGGCAGGUAUAUGGGUGUACUCUUUAACACUACAGAUGUUCCGAGGAGUGGUAUAACUGUUCUAUUUUAAGCUAUAACAGCACAAGNGAUGUCCCUGCGCCGGUUGAGGAGGCGCAGGUAAGUAUUGAGCGUCGUCGCAACUACAACAGCAACGAAAGGGUCAGAUUCACCUUCUGUUACAGCUCAAGUCCUUCUUAAUCACUUAUUUGGAGGCCCGACGCGCGACGAGGUUAGUGCUGCCAUAUAGAAGUGGACAUAUGUAUCUAGCUGGCAUAUAGGGGAGUGGUUUAGCACUACAGAUGUUCUGGGGAGUAGUAUAACAGUUCCAUUUUAAGCUAUAACCGCAAAAGCAAAGGCUACCAUAUAGAAGUGGACAUAUAGAUGUGGGAGGUAUUUGAGUGUGCUCUUUAGCCCUACAGAUGUUCCGGGCAGUGGUUAAAUUGUUCUAUUUUAAGCUAUAACUGGAAAAAUAAAUGGUACCACAGAGAUAAUAUUAUAUAGAUGUGAAAGGUAUAUGGAUGUGCUCUUUAGGCUCGACAGAUGUUCUAGAGAGCAUUAUAAUUGUUCCAUUUUAAGGUAUAACCGCACAACCCAAGGCUGCCAUAUAGAAAUGGACAUUUAGAUGUGGCAGGUAUAUGGGUGCGCUCUUUAGCCCUACAGAUGUUCCGAGGUGUGGUAUAACUGUUCCAUUUUAAGCUAUAACCGCACAAGUAAAGGGUACCAUAUAGAAGUGGACAUAUAAAUGUGGCAGGGAUUUGGGUGUGCUCUUUAGCCCUACAGAUGUUCCGGAGUGUGGUAUAACUGUUCCAUUUUAAGCUAUAACCGCACAAGUAAAGGGUACCAUAUAGAAGUGGACAUAUAAAUGUGGCAGGGAUUUGGGUGUGCUCUUUAGCCCUACAGAUGUUCCGGGGUGUUGUAUAACUGUUCCAUUUUAAGCUAUAACCACACAACCCAAGGCUACCAUAUAGAAGUAGAUAGAUAGAAGUGGCAGGUAUAUGGGUGUACUCUUUAGCCCUACAGACGUUCCGAGAAGUGGUAUAACUGUUCUAUUUUAAGCUAUAACAGCAUAAGUAAAGGGUACCAUAUAGAAGUGGACAUAUAAAUGUGGCAGGGAUUUGGGUGUGCUCUUUAGCCCUAUAGAUGUUUCGUGGGGUGGUAUAACUGUUCUAUUUUAAGCUACAACUGAAAAAAUAAAGCCUACCACAGAAAAUAUUAUAUAGAUGUGAAAGGUCUAUGGGACUGCUCUUUAGCCGUACAAAUGUUCCGCAGAGUGAUAUAACAGUUCUAUUUGGAACUAUAACCGCACAUUACAUAUAGAAGUGGAUUAACAUUAGAACAAAAUUUUUCUUUACGCCAUAAGUUGUAAUACAAUAUUAAAAUAAAACGUAGAAUUUAAAGCAACAAAACCAUAUGGCAUCAGGACCAUUGAUAUAAUAUAAAGUCUACCACAAAAUACUACAACAGGUUAUAUUUGUACAACACAACGACCAACAUAACAACACUAUAUAAAAAUUAUUACAGCUUGCAUGAUACAGGGUGGUCAUGUACCCUUGCCACACAAGUUAUAGCAGGAUGACCACAUUAUCCCACUGACUAUCCCAUACAUGACAAAAAUAGCCCAUUUCCAUCUUUUUCUUUUUGCUGCAACUGCGACUUCUUCCCGCAACUUAUUAUUGCUUUCUAGUAAACCAUUAACCACUGAGAUACUCUGGCUCGUAAAUUGUGGGUCGUACCACCCAAAAUAAUUACAUGCGUUACUCUCCUGCAUCUGAAAGAUAAUAUAAAUUACACAUCAAAUAAUGUCAAUAUAUGAAUCAACAAGUUUAUAGUAGCCAGCUUUACCCUAUAUCUUGAACAGCCAUAAAAUCUCCGACCCGGAUUAUUUUNNNNNNNNNNNNNNNNNNNNNNNNNUCGGGGUAAACCACGUCGUUCAAUUUUGCCGCAUCCUCGAUUGUCGCCUCCGUACUUGCCGCGUCCAAUUUGAUCGCAGAAUCCGCCUUCGCGCUUCUUUCUCUUCCUCUCGUUCUCCCUGUUUCUAGCACAGCACAACUCCUCUCGCUCCCUCUCGCGCCCUGCCCUCGCUCUCUCUCGCGCCCUGCUCCCGCUCCCGCUCGAGCUCUCCUCUCUCUCUCGGUCGCUCGCUCGCUCGCCUCUCUCUCUUUAGGUCGCUGGCUCGCUCGCUCGCCUCUCUCUCUCAGUCGCUGGCGCGCUCGCCUCUCUCUCUCUUUAGCUCGCUGGCGCCAAAAAUUAGGAAAAAAAAGGAAAAAGGUGAUGGGCUAAAAUGUGGGAGUGAGGUUAACACUGUUUUUUUUUUUUUUUUUAACCAAGUUUAUAUCACCCGUUGGAUCAAAGAGUUGUAGGAUCUACAACUCAAUAUGGGGUGUAUGGGUAGCACGACUCAAAAAAGAUAAGGUAAGGGGUCAAUUUCGAAAUAACCCAAAAGACCUAAGAGUCAAUUUCAAAAUUGCCUACAUUUGAGGGGCUCUCCAUACAUUUUCAAACAAAAUUGACCUUAACAUAAAAAAAUUGCGACUCCGCUGGGGAUCGAACCCAGAAUCUCUGGUUCCGUAGACCAGCGCCUUAUCCAUUGGGCCACGGAGUCAUUUUAUAAUUAAUUCCCUUAACAUUUUAUAAAUUAUUUAUAAUUUAUAUUGGCUUUUCUUUCCUCAUUUUAUUUUUCCCUUCUCUUUCUCUCCUCUCCUCUUCAUCUUUUCCACGAAGAACCUUCUAAAACCCUUUCCCCGUCCCCGCCGCGCUCCGGAGCGAUGAAGACGAGAUCAUCGGCGGCGGCGCCGGCGCCGGCGAGGUCGGUGCCGGCGCCGGCGAGGAGGGCGACUACGAAGCCUAGGGCGAAGAAGAAGCCCCUCAAGGACGAUCGCAACAAGCCCAAGAAACCCCCCACCGCAUUCUUCUACUUCUUGUACGCCCCCCGUUAAUAAUCACCCCUUCCCUGUAUCCAUUUCCUAGGGUUCUAAUGUAGGUAAAUAGAUACUCGGUACUGUAAAUUGGUACUUGGAAUUUCGUAAUAGGUACUUAAAAUUUUCCUAAAUGAAUAUCUAAACUUUUAAAUUUUUUUGUUUUACUAUCGAGUAACAAAAUAUUCCAUUAGUUUAAAGAUAUGUUGCAGUCGAUGCUAAGGUUUGGUAGUAAAAUCAAAAGUUUGAAAGUUAAGGUCAUCUAUUUUAAAAACACUAUUACAUUAGGUAGUAAAAUCAAAAGUUUUGAAGCAUGCAUAUGUACCGUGAAAAAUGCGAUAGUUUGGUUUAGAUCUAUAGAUCUUUUAAUGCUGAUGAGUGGAAGCCAAACAAGAACUAUGUAAAAUUUGCGCGUAAUUAGGUUUGUUGAUUUACUAGAUUAAGCAGUAGAUAGAGGCUUAUGUCGACUAUAUUAGUUAGCAUCUGAUUAGGGCAUUUUUGCACUCUCUGAAUAUUUUGCUGUUCUGUCUGAACUGAGACUGUAAAUUAGUGUAGAAGUAUGUUUUUGUUGUAGAACAAAUUAGUGAUAGUACAAUAUAACUUGACCUUGGAGUGCUCAAAUCUCUCAUACGAUACACAACCUUUCUCCUCAAUUCCUAAUGGUUGAUUCGCCUGAUGGAAAGAAAGAAAUGCACUGCUUUACUAGGAAACUGGCCUUGAGGUUUAAUGGCAAUCUCUCUUUCUUUCAUGGCUCAUUUUUAGGCGAGAAAUCGAUGCUUGUAACUGUUUUCUAGUGAACUAUCGGGAGUCUAGAUGUGUUAGUUAGUUCUGUGUCCAGAUGGAUGGAAGGUAAUAGCUUGUGGAAAUAUUUGAAGAACAUGUUCUCCCAAAAAAAAAAAAGAAGUAUUUGAGGAACAUAGAAAAAUAAAAUACAAAGGGACUUGAAAAGAGACGUAUAUGAUUUUGAGUGGAAAGUGAUUUGGUAGUGCCAGAUAAAAUCUAGCGAAGUUUCAAUAAGUGGUGUAUUGCUUUAAGUUUGGCAUGUGAGUUUGCUUUCAUGAUGUUAUAAUUUCCCUAAAGUAUGCUUAUUCACUGCAUCAUAGUAAUAGUUAUUUAUAGUUUGCUUUGUCUAAAUGAGUAAUAUAACUACUUAUGUCUUGCCAUUCUGUUUAGCUAGCAUCUCUCUGUGUAUUGAUUAUAUAUUUUGGUUGACUGACUUGCGGAAAGCUGACUUGUUUAUGUGAAUGUGCAUCGAAACCUGGUGUUCUUUUGAAGAGAAGAUUUUAGGAAAACCUACCAACAAGAGAACCCAGAUGUCAAAUCAAUGCGUGAUGUAUGUAUAUAUGUACUCUUAAUACUCAAAUUUAGUCUCUUUCCUUUGGUUGCUUAUGCAUAUUGUCUUCCAGAUUGGAAAAGCAUGUGGAGAAAAAUGGAAAACAAUGUCAUUUGAGGUUAGCAUCUAUCUUCUUUUUCCCAUUUGAGGCAUGACAGGCCUUAGCAUUAUUAUUAUUAUUAUUAUUAUUUUCUCUGCAAUUGAUUUAUCAUUUUUUUAUUAUGAAUUAGGUACGAAGGGUACGAGUUAUCUACCAGCAGUAGUAUGUUUAAUAAACAUAAUUAACAUAGGAGUACAACUAGUUCCUUGAAAUGGUAGUUCUGAGCACAACUAAGAAAAUAUGAGGUGAAGAAGUGUGUAAAGCCUGCUUCUUGAAAUAUUGAAGGUUACAACAAGAAACUUCAUUUUUUCUAUCUGGUUUUACUUUAGCUGACUGCACGAAACUUAAAACUGCAAUCAUGGGAAGUUAUGAUAGCAAUCGAUGUUGAUAAAGAAACUGUAAGUGGAGCUGAAAUGGACAAAUCUAAUUUAUGUAGCUAACGCGAAUAAGUUUGGAUUAAUGACUAAGUUGUUGUCACUCUGCUGCUGCUGCUGUCCAGUCCAGACUUGAUGCCCUGUACUUCUAGUUUAAUCAUGCUUUAUAUUGGCUCACGAUACACCAAGGGCUAGGCUAGAAAAUCCUUUUUUUUCUUUCCUUUUUUUGUGUAGGGAUCUGGGAGCUCUGAUAUAAACUCCAUUCUGUCUUUGCAAUACUAUAAGGACACUUUUUCUAGCACACAAUUUUGUACAUGGGGCAUAUCACUACUUUUGUUCCUUGAAUGCAUUUCUAGAGUCAGAAAAUAGAGUUCAUAACCCUUAAACACACUCCAUUUUGGGGAAAUGACAAGAAUGGUGCAUAAAGAAUAUGUUAUAUAGCAAAGCAUGUUAUUUGAAACAUUUAAGAGCCAAUAUCUGACGAAGUAUCUAUCCCUGAUAAAUCAAGGUCGGAUAUUUUAUGUAUCAAAUUUCAGCGGACACUUUCUCUUAGUACAAUCUAGCCAAUUAGUGGACAAUCUUCUAUUACAAGUUUCCUUGAUUAUUUUUGAUACAAAUAUUUCUCUACAGCCUAGCUAAGCAAGAAAAGUAUCAUUUCUCUUUGACUGAAAGAGUCGGCAGAUUUUCCUAUUUUAAGGUGUUAGUGCAUGUAAAACAGCAAAAAGCUUCCUGACUAGAAGUUCUCAUUCUACCUUUUUCAUUCAAAAAUAAUGAGGAAAAAAGAAAAAAGACAACUUUCUGCUAAGAGGCUUUCUUAGAAAGUAAGCUUCUAGUCUCAACAGUAAUAAGUGCUUCCAAGACUUGUAGUUAUGAUUGCUCUGUUCUUUCAGUUCUUUAGUUGCAACAUUUCACAGAAAUCUCCUUUUCUGGUCCUUGAUAUUUCUUGUAUUCCUAAUAGCAGUUGGUUUAUUCUGCUAGAUUAGCUUACAAAAAACCUUGAACCUCCGUUGUGUACAUCAGAUAAUUGUCCAUAUAGCUCUAUUUGCCAGCUUUCAUUUUGAUAAUUGUUCAUCUAAACAAAAAAUAUUCAGAAGGGAAGAGAAUUUGGAUUUUAGGAGUUUCUAUAGAACAGUCUGUUUCAAAAAGGCAGGUUGUUGCUCAAGUUGUUAGCUAGCUAAAACUCACUUCAAUAACCAUGAAAAUGCACCCUGGAAGAGAAAUAAGUUGGGCGUGACCUCGAGCUUGUAUGGUUUCCUUAUAAGGAAAAUCGAGUUGAGACCAAUUCAUGAACUAUAUAAGUUUCAUAGGGCAGAAUAUUCCGAGGAAUAUGAAGAUUCUUCAUUUCAUUUUUUCUCUUUUCUUCCUCUGUCUUCUGUGUUUUCUCUUUUUCCCCAUGUAGUGGUAUUAAGUAUCAAUUGCUUAUAAACUUGUUCUGGAUAGGAAAAGGUUGCAUACUAUGAUAUAGCUACAGAAAAGCGAGCCGAGUUCGAGAGGGCAAUGGCAGAAUAUAUUAAGAGAAAGGUAAAAUGAUCUUCAUUUACUGCCUUCAGUAGUUCAUUCUAUCCAUUUUGUACACUAAUCAUGUUCUAUUAUUCUGCUUCCUUAUUUCAUCUAGGAAAGUGGGGACUUUUCUGAGGAAUCCGACUAUGAAUGAAUAUCAGAUCAAAUUGUUUGAUGAAAAAUCAAGGAUUGUGUGCAGAAGCCAAUCUUGUACAUUGUACUUGCGAGGGCUUGUCAUUUGGUAUCAAAACUUAGUUCAGCUUCUUUUCUUCUUGGCUCCUCUUUCUCUUACCUUCUAUUGCAUUCUUUUUUGCUUCAUUACACUGCAUGAAACGUUUAGCAUUUUCAAAGCUAAUUUUUAAAACCAUAAAAUAGCGAAUAUUGAGCAUUCGAAAGUAAGACAUCUGUUAGUAGAUAUAUUGUGCAAAUGGAGCAAUGUUAUUCCAGAUCUAUUUGUCGCAAAAGUAUCAAACAACAUCACGUGAUUGGAAUGGAAAAAAAAAAAACAAAAAUCAAAAAUCAUGAUUUGAAGAUCUUUAUGAACAGGUUUGUUAAAUCCAAAAUAUUUGUUGUGCCCUGUAAAAGACUCAGAACUUACUGGCACAUCAACUGGACUCCAGCUUGCGGCAGUCCUAGUUUAUUAGUUUAAAAAACAUGGGCAGUUCCUGUACUAUUCCCAUAUUAUAACUUGGUCUCUGAACAUUUUGCGCAAACGCUUUAGGCCUUGAACUUCGCCAUUCCAUAAUCUGAAAAAAAAGUGUAUGUUUCAUUGUAAAGGAGCAGUUUAACCCUGUUUGCAGUGAAAGUUCUUUUUUUAUUUGUUUUUUCGCUGCUAAAAAUGUGUGGGAGUAUCUUGAACUAGGCUCAUUUUGAUUUGACUAUCUAAUGUUGAGUAAGUUCCGAUUUUGCUACCCAACUCUUUAGUUUAUCUGAUUAGAGCAAUUUGAUUGCUCUUUCCUUCAGAAUUUCAGUACACCGAUUAUUCUAGUAGAUUUGAUUAGACUAUUUAAUUACAUGAUUAAUGUGACUAAGUUCCAGAAUUAAAUUAAUUGAAAAUUAGAUAGACAAAUCAAACUUUUAAAAUCAUAGUUUAGAUAAAUUUCAUUUAUUUUUACUCUUUUUCUUUCCCCUUCUACGUCAGAUAUUUAAGUUUAAAAACUACAGUGUUUGAGUAUAGAGAUAUAGCAGGUUCUAUCCUGCAUUUUACCCAGUUCAAUUUAUUAUUCUAAAAAGAACAUGGUUCCCCAGAGUAAAGUUACUUUCUUAUUAAACCUGGAACUUCAACUCUCUUUGAAACAUUAUCAUUGUUUUGGUGACCCAAUUGGCCCCUACCAUUGACUCCUUUGCCCCCUCAAUAAGAUAUGCUCUGAUGCUUCACUCCUUUUCAGUGGUUGAUCUGUAUUUGCUGCUACAAAGCUUUCUUUUAUAUUCUCUUUUCUCUGUGGACCUUUUCUUAUUUUUGUGGCUCUCAUAAUGUACAAUGUAUAUAUGUGUGGAGACCCCUCAACAAUAGUCCAUUACAAACUAGAUCCCUCAACUUCUAACUUCUUCGGAAUUGAUAUAUCAGAACCGACGAAAAAUGGAAGUUGAGGAGUGUUUGUCCAAAUGAUCUAUAGUUGAGUGGAAAAUCGAUUCGCCUCAAAAAAAAAAAAAGGAGAAAAUAAAUAAAAAGAAGUAAAAAUAUAUUAAAAAAAUUUAAAAGAUAGUAGGCAUGGGUGUGUCUCCAAAAUUAUUAUACUAUUUAAUACUGUACAUUUUGAAGCUGAGCAUGUUCCAAAGGUAGUGACAAAGAUGACAUUUUUGCAAAAAACUAACCCCCUUGCUUUUACUCUCCGCAAAUCUCUCAUUCAGAUCUCCAGCAUAUAUACUUGCGAUUUCGCAAAACUAGCUAGCGGGUAUUUUCGCAAAAAAAAAAAAGAAAGAAAAAAAAAGAAAAGCCUGCGAUAAAUACAAAUCUCUUAAUCUAACAUGCUCCGGCGACGUCCUCCGGGCGGAACCUGCGGGAGCCGUCGGCGAGGCAGCUGUCGUCGAAGUUCUUGGCGUAGCUGGCGGCGUCGUAUCCGAAGGUGAUGAGGGGCUUGGACGUGCGCAUGCUCCUGCACACGCCCUUCUUCCCCUCCCUCACCAACCUGUCCAGGAGCCUCCGCCACGACGGCGCGCUCCGCUGCUGCCGCUGAGCAGCGUCGCCGCGGGCGAGGAGGUGGAAGCGCGAGGGGUUCGACGGGCGGUGCAGCACGAGCCACGACGGCGGCGACGCCAUGCAGGAGGGGAAGUAGGAUGAUGAGUGGGUCGGAGAUGUGUGGGUCUGAUCCAUAUAAUUUGUGCUUGUUAUUCGUUGGAGCUAGCUAGCUAGCUAGCUAGGGUUUGUUGCAGCAGCAGCAGCAGUUAUUUUUCGAUGUGGCUAGCUAGCUAGGGGUGGGAGAGGUUUUAGGUUUGUGUGGUGGGUGUUAUAUAUAAAGAGGAUUUGGAGUUUCUCUCUCUCUCUCUCUCUCUCUCUCUCUCUCUCUGUUUGUAUGUUUUUGGAGAUGGUAUGUGAGCACGCAAAAAUAGAUAUAAAUCUUACAAUCUGUCCCAACAAUGAUUAUUUUAUCAUGCUAAGUCUUAUUACAAUUUUAAUUGUUUUACUACGAAAUAUUCAAAAUGUUUGUCUCAAUUCCUGGAUGUGUAAACUGUAGGAUUUUUCUCUGGUUCAUGGAUUGGUCUCAUGGAGCGCGCGUACAACAAAGUCCGUGCCAAUACGUGCAGCAUGUGCGUUUCCCUUGAGUAGGGGUGGAAACGAGCCGAGCUCGAGCGAGCUUAUGUCAGCUCAAAUUCGGCUUGAAAUUAAUUUCGAGCCUAAAUCUAGGCUCAAGCUCGGCUUGAAAUUAAUUCGAGCCGAGCUCGAGCGAGCCUAAUUUCCGAGUCCGAGCCGAGCCUCGGUCGAGCGGUCUAAACGAGCCGAUUGAAAUUCUCGACAUUAUAUAAUCAAUAGUUAAUUUUUAUAGAACAUUACCUAUAAUUUGAUGUAACAUGUCCAAUUAGUUCAAAAUACAAAAAUAAUUGUAAGAAAUGUGAGUUUAGGUGAUUGCCUGACUGGUGAGGGUCAGCAGAGAGAGAGAAGAGGGGAAAAAAAUUAGGGAUUUGAAAAUUUGAAUGUUAUCAUGUUUUAGGGUUAUGUGCAACAGUAAUGUCUGAAAGAGAGUGUGUUAUGCAAUUUAGAGUUGGGCUCAAUUGCAGGGUUGUACUUGUUGGGUUUAUUUUAUGGGCGAACAAUAAUGGCCCAAAUUAAAUUAAAGCCUAUAUAUAAUUAAAAUACAUUUAUAUUUAUAAAUAUUAUAUAUAUAUAUAUAAAUAUAUAUAUAUAUAUAUAUAUAUAUAUAUAUAUAUAUAUAUUAUAUAUAUAUAUAUAUAUAUACAUAGAAUUAGGCUGGAAUACUAUAAUUUAAUAGUAAAACGCUUCAUUUUGCUAUCGAAUUUUAAACCCUUGGAUGAAAAAUAUAAGGUCAGGAUGAUAUUAGUCGUUAGAGUUAGUGGUCUCGCUAGGGUUGAGUGUUUUUCACUGGGUUAUAGUUUUUAAUCCAAAUGGUUGAAAUAAUAAAAAGAGUUAAUCCAAAGGCUAAAAAACUGAUAGCAACAAUAGGAUUUUGCUACUAAUAGUAGCCCACUAAUAGUACCCAGUCUCUCUCUCUCUCCGUCUCUCUCUCUCUCUCUCUCUCUCUUCUCUCGCUCUCUCUUUUAUAUAUAUAUAUAGGGCUACUAUACUUUAUGAUAUAGACCUUGUACUCAUAAAUUUUUAAUCGUUGAUGGGAUGUGUGGUUAGGAUGAUAGUGGUCCCACAUUAAAAUGAUAGCGGUCCCCUAAGUUGAGAUGGGUAAUUGUUUGAAUAGUAUGAUCUAACGGAUAAAAAUGAUCAAUGGAAUAAAUCUAAGAGCCGAAAUCUUAUGAGUAUAUAAGAACCAAUACUCAUAAGUAAGUAGGCCGGACGUUCAUAUAUAUAUAUAUAUUAUAUAUAUAUAUUAUAUAAUAUAUGAUUAUAUAUAUAUAUAUAUAUAUAUAUAUUCGAGCUUUUCGAGCUUUUCGAGCCUAAUUCGAACGAGCCGAGUAAUACUCAAGCUCGGCUUGAAAUGAAUUUCGAGCCUUUUAUUUUGUUCAAGCUCGGCUCAUUUAAUUUCGAGUCGAGCUCGAGCGAGCCGAAUAUCGAGCCGAACACGAGCCGAACGCGAGCCGGCUCGCUCGUUUGCCAGCCCUACCCUUGAGUCUCGAUAAAAUCCGGCGUUGUUUUUGACGGAACAAUGCAAUGAACCAUACAUAUACUUUUUCUAUUAGCAAGAGUACUUACAUAUAUAUGUUAGGCCUUAAACUUUGUCUUAAGAUCUGUUUGGUUCGAAAUUUUCACUUACCGUGUAUUCUAUCGUCGUAAUAAAAGGGCAUUUUGUGGUGUAAAAAUUCUAUGUUCAGAGCCCUUGUAUGUUUUUAACUUGAAGAGCAUUUCAUUUUGGAAAAUAAAUAUGUUUUGCUACAAAUUGAUGGGGAGUUCAACUCACAAGCAUAGUUAGUUAAUUCGGAUUUGGCAAAAAUUCGGUACGGGUAUAAUUCGGAUAAAAUUCGUCUUUUAAUUUUUAAAUUCGUUGAAAAAUACGGUUAAAAAACGGAUUCGAUAAUUAUUCGGAUACGUAAUUUAUACGGAUAUUAUACGUUCACCAAUUAAAAAUUCGGGAUAAAAAAUUCGGCGAUUAAAUUAAAUCUUUUUCUCUCAAGAUUUAUGCUAUUAGCAUAAAUAUUCAUAUUUAUUAAGAAUAUAAGAAUUAAAAGCUACAAAAUUAAGCUAAUUAAGUAAAAAAAAUAUUAAACUAUAUUUUUCUUAUAAAUAAAAUAUUAUAUAAUAAUAUUUUUAUAUAAAAAUAUAAUACUAUGUAUAAUAAAUAAAUAUAUAUUUAGAAAUAAAAUUUUAUAUAUAUAUAUAUAUAAUGAGUUAAUGGCUCAUGCGGUCCACGAGGCCGAAGUGGCCUCGUGGACCGUGCGUCAAUCUAUUUCCAAACGCCGCGAUUUUUCAUCUUCUUCCCCAAACCCAGCGCCAUUUCGAUUACAAGCUCCGAAGUCCCAAAUUCAAUUCUUUUCAAAAAAUUUAUAAAAUAAUUGUUUCAAAAAAAAUUUUAGGGACAACAAAUUUUUGGGGAAAAAAAAUUUCAGCGGAAAUUUUUUUUUUCAAAGAGAUUUUACAAGGAUCUUCUGCGACGAAAGCGGCGGAGGAGAAGGAGAACGACGAUGGCGGAACGACGAUGGCGGCGACGACGCGAGCCGCGAGUCCGUGACCGCCGUUUUUUUGAACGAAUCAUUCGCGAAUCGCGAAUGAUCGCGAAUCGCGAAUGAUUCGCGGAUAAUUUUUAUUGAUGAAAAAAACGCGUUUUUUUACGCAUUUUUCCAAAAAAUGCGGAUGCGGGCGUUUAAUUCGGCAUUCUAAAUAGUCGCGAAUAAUUCGCGAAUUAAACGCGAAUUAACUAACUAUGCUCACAAGCAGAGUAUUUUUUUUUUUUUUUGUGCAUAGGAUUAUAGAGGAUGUGUCCUCUUAUUUCACGCCACUCUACAGAGUGCAAUAACUAUGUAAAAUCAAUAACUAAUCUAAUUAAACAAAAAAAAAAAAAAGUUCAUGCACCAAAUAAUAAUAACAAUAAUAAUAAUAAUAAUAACCCACUAAAAUAAUAAGGAAACACUUAAAAAAAAAUAAUGGCCACAACUUAGGCUGAGUUGGUGUUUGGUGAGAAACAGCGAAUCCGUACCCAUCUCGGAUUCCUGAAAUUAUUGGUAGUGGAAUUAGUUCAGUGUGUGCCGCUCCACUCCAAAACAACCCUCAAUACAAUAUAUGCUCUUUUUGAAUCAUUCCACGCAAUUAUUUUUUAAAACUAAAUCAUAACCACACUCGAAUGAAUAAAGACUCUCCAAUAACGUCUCAUUAAAGAGUCUCCGAUCUAUUCCACUAUUCUUGUGUAUUAAUUUUAUCUCUAUCUAAUGAUUUAUUCAAUAUUUUUUUAAUAUUAAAAUAUAUAAAAAAAAAUUUAAAUUUUAUAAAAAAUAUAAUUUUAAAAAUAAAAAUAACACCUAUAUAAAUUGGAACUCGUUUGGAGACACUAGACACUAUGCACGCUGGUACGCCCACUUUACACGUGUCGACACUCGUCCCCAGAUCUGUUGGCAAUACUUUCCUGCACCGGGUGUACGUUUACACCUCAUGAUCCGUGUGCUUAAGUUUUUUUUCAUUAUUUUUUUUUUCUAUUAAUGUACAUAGCUCAUCCUCGAGGAUUCGAGACUUACUAGAAGCUUCAUGAUCAGAUUUGAGUUUAGUAUCUAUAAUAAUAAUACAUUAGUUUAAAAUUUUAAACUAUAAAAAAAUUUUCUGUUAAAAUAACAAUAUUUAACAACCUGCAUGUAAUAUAUAAUAAUCAUAUUUUAAACUCAAAUUCUAAUUUAAUAAAUACAAUCUUUUUCUAUUUAAAAAAUUUACGCAUGAGAAAUUAUAAGCGUUUAAAUUUAAUUACCUAGGCCUCAGUUCGUACCAGAAAUUAACUGUACAAAAAGAGCUAUUGCAUGUUGGCUAGCUAUUUAUUGAUUAAAAUAAUUUUAACUUUCAAUUAUAUGACUAUAAGUUUAGUAAGCUAAUAAGUUGAAUUGAGUGAGGUUGAAGUUCACAAUAGACCUAAUAGCACGAGACUUAACAAUAAAUCUUAUGUUUAGGUGAGUUGAAUCAGGUCGAAAUUCUUGAACACUGUAAUUGAAUCCUUAAGUGCGAUGAGUGCGGUCUUACUAUCAGCAUAUUUUUUUGAAAUAAUUGGUUAGCACUUACGAUCAUAGUUAGUUAAUUCGGAUUCGGCAAAAAUUCGGUACGGAUAUAAUAUGCAUAAAAUUCGUUUUCUAAUUUUUAAAUUCGUUGAAAAUUUUGGCUUAAAAAAUAGAUUCGGUAUAAAAUAUAAGAUAAUCUAUAUUUAAAAAUUAAAAUUUAUAAGUUUUUAUUCAUAUUUUCAAUAAUUCGGGAAUAAUUCAGCUGGACCAAAAAUUCGCGAAUAAUUUUCUUUCUUUAGAAAAAAAAUUUAUAAAUGGACUGUUUAAUUCGAAUUUUCAAUAAUUCGUGAAUAAUUCGCGAAUUAACUAACAAAUCUUACGAUUCACAUUAUGUAAAAUACAUUAAUUAUUAUAUUUUAAGAGUGCAAUAUGUGAAAUGAAGCUCUGCACCCGGUGCAGCGAAUAACUCGGUCUACUCCAGUGAUCAAAAUCAGCUGGACCACUAGUGACGCACGGUACACCUAAAUCCACGAGUCACAAGCCGCCACGUCAAUAAAUCCAGGGAAUAUUGACAUGUGUCGAGUGAUGAUUGGUGGGAGUAGUGGGGGCGAAUGUCGACGAAGGAGCCCGUUGUUAUGCUGAGCUGGCGAUGUGAGGCACGUGGAACGGGUCCAACAAAUCUACUGGCGAUGAUGUGAGGGGACGCGGCAACAACCACUCCCCAUCUUUAGUGGGGCCCACAACCACUCCCCAUCUUUAGUGGGGCCCACUUGAAAUUCCGUUCCGUUUGUGCUCCUCCGAAACGGAACGCGAAUUUGCAGCGAGGGCCCCAAAAUUAUUACUCGUCGCAUUCUAGGACGUAAACUUUUUUUUUUUCGUUUAAUUGAAAAAAUUAAAAUUUUAAUGAUUACCGUAAUUGAGUUUUUUGAAGCAUCAGAUUUUGUUCCAACGAGGACGGAAUUUUGAUGCCUCACAGCGAGAGAAUUAUAUUGACAUUUUGAGUAAAGCUUCAUAUGAGAUUGCCGAGAAUAUGAGAAUGAUAAAAAGAUAUUUCUUUAUAAUUCGAGUAAGAAAAUUUCUACGUCCCACCGGAAAAAAAUGAGAAUUAUAUUUUUUAUGUACUUUUGUCGCAACUUUUUUCUAAUUGCAUUUGAGGGCUCUCAACAUUCAACAAGCCCAAAAAAAUCUUAGCAAUUGGGCUUCUUGUUGGAUUUGGGCUGGAUCUUAAUUUAUUUUUCUUUUUUGCAUAAUAAUUGCGGCCUAGUCCAGGUCCGCAUUUUAAAUGUUACAUACAUACAAAGCUUACUCUAGGUUUGUAAAAGUCCUUUUUUUGUUACUCGACAUUAAAGUUUAGGCAUAUUUCACUGCUAUUAUAGUUGAUAAGGAUAAAAAUUUAGUUGGAGUGGUCUAUAGUGUAAGAUCACUUUAUCUACUGUUCAUCAUGUAGUCGGCACAAAAUUUAGAACAGUGUAGGCAGAAGAAUUUAGUUGGAGUGAUUUAUAAUGUAAGACCACUUUAUCCACCGUUCAUCAUGCAGUCGACAUAAAAUUUAGAACAGUAUAAGCAGCAGAUAGAGCAAUUAUAUAUUGGAGGCUAUUCCUACCAAAUUUUUAUUCGACUAUAUGUCCGGUCUCGAAUAGAAAUGAGUGUGUUAUUUUGGUGGCUUAAGAACGUCCAAAAUAAAAAAUAAAAAAUAAAAAAUAAAAUGCUAAACUUUGUUCUUUUUUUUUUUUUUUUUUUGAAGUGUUGAUUGAAAAGACAACGUUCUGCAAGCAUGAAAUAUUUGACAGGUAAAAUACCUAUUUGGCUAUCACAACAUGAUCAAAGAAAUAAUUAUUAAGAACAAGUGAUUAAAAAACAAUUAAGGUCAAAAAAAAUUACCAAAGAGUGUAGUAAGGGAACAAAAAUUUGGCAGGGGAUGAUUCCAAUCUCAGACCGUUUUAUUCGACGUCAUCAAUCACGUGAGCGACAUAAAUCUCAAAGUUGCGUAAAUGAUAGAUGAGACGGUCUCACAUGGAUGACUGUUUCAUAAAGUUUUUAUUUGUGAAAAAUUACUUACAAUAUGAUCUAACCUUGCUGUUGUUGUGCACAAAAUAUUGAGCAACAAAUAAAUGUUCAUAAAAGAGAACAACAUUGUCGAUCAAAGGACAUUUUUUUUUACUAAACACUAACAUGAUACUCGGAUUGCGCUUAAUUGGUUCAUUGAAAAUGAAGGGAACCAUAGAUGCAUCAAACCGUUGUAAUAUAUUGCAAAUACCCUUUAUCAUGAAAAGUUUUUUAAAACUAAGAAACAAAUAAAAUUAUAUAUAUAUAUAUAUAUAUAUAUAUNUAUAUAUAUAUAUAUAUAUAUAUAUAUAGUCCGGCUGGGAUACUAUCGACAGCACGAAAUAUUUGGUGCUAUCAAAUUUUCUGGCUUUAGAUUUACCUCUUUUAUCAUUUUCAUCCGUUCGAUUAUACUAUUCAACCAACCAUCCACUCAACUCUAAGGAGCCCACAUCAUCAUAACCGCGCAUCUUUUAAUCCAAGGUCGGAAAACUUAAUAGCACCAAGUUAUUGAUGCUAUUAAUAGUAUUUUAGCUAGUUCAUAUAUAUAUAUAUAGAGAGAGAGAGAGAGAGAGAGAGAGAGAGAGUCCAUUUACUAUUCUAUUAAUAAGAUUGAGGACAUUGUCCUAUCAAGUCGUUUUAAAUGAUCGGAACUUCAAAUUGAUAAUCGGCACCGUUGAAAUUGAUCUACAUAAUUAGAACUGUUUAUAAACUAAAUUUUGUAAUAUUUAAAAAUCAUUAUCAAGUUCAUUAAAGAGUUGAAAAAUGAACGGUUAUAAAUGAAUGACCUUUUUAAAAUAAAGAUUAAAUUUUCUCAAUUCAUAAUCAGAGUUAUCAAACAUUAUCUAAAUAGUUUAAAGAAUUUUCUAUCAAAAAUUCAAGCAAUUUGGAUUGCUAUACACCGUUAAACAAGCAAACGGUUCAUAUAGGCCGUCAAAAAAUUGUCGAUUUUACGAUACUUUGAUCACCAUGUAAAUAAUUUUUAAAAUUUAUAAAACUUAGUUUCUAGAAACCGGAGGGGUAUAUAUGCAAAAAUCCCAUUGAACUAACUAAUUAAUAAUUGGUUCCAAUACACAUAAUAGAGAGAGAGAGUAAACAAAACAAAAUAAAAUAAACAGUGCAAAAAAUAAAAAUAAAAACAAAAUCCAAAUUUUAUUACAAAUCUAUGAAAAUCCCAACUUUGAUCAGAUGUGGCCACAUCCGCAGCAGCAGAAGAAGCAGCAGAGUGCGAAGACGAGGAUGACGGCUUCGGCGACGUAAACUACGCGGAAUAAGACGUCGUCGCGCAAAGAGAAGCUCAGGUUGAGUCGUUUCCACCGUGACGAAGACGACGACGACGACGACGAUGACGAAGAAGAAGAAGAAGAGGAAGAGAAGAAGCCCAGUCUACUGCAGCUCCAGGGCCAGCAUUUGUAUUUGGAGUUAAACUUAGAGUUAGAGCUCGUUGUUGCCAUUGAUAAAGAGGUUGACAUGUGUGUGUUGUGUUGAGUUGUUUGGUGGUGUAGUAAAAGAGAGAGGGUAUUGGAUUCAAAGUUUGGAGCUUUUAAAUUGGAAAGGGACAAGGAGAGGUGGAGAGAAUUUGGAGGGGUAUUUAUAAGUAAGAGAGAGUGAGAUUUGGAGUCAAUUAAUUUACAAUAUAAUGUAAUGAGUGGAUAAUUGCUUAAUUUACGGAGCUAAUUAUGAAUUAAAGUUGGGAUUAUCAUGAUGAUUGUGUCGGUAAAUUUCCCUUUAAUUUGUAUCGUGCAUGCGAAGCUAAAAAAAAGCCUUUUUUUUAAAGACUCAAAUUAUAAAAUUACUCCAGUAUACGUGUUCGAGUGAGCUUUCACCAGGUACAUGUAUUAAUAGGAUUGAUUUACUACAAAUUUCGUAUUGUAUAGUAGGCUGUACUGCACUAAUAGAUUCGCCAGCACUUUAGUGAAAACUUCAACCAAACUAGAAGAUAUAUGAUAUAUUUAAGGCUUUUAGGUGUACAUACACUGAAUAAUAAACAUACAUUUAAGGCUUUAGCUGUACACAUACACUACGUACGAUUGACAAUUCUGUCUGCUGUUCACGAGUCAGUUCAGUUCGACUUGAAAUGAGUUCGAAAUCGAUUGCUCGUUUAGUAGAUGAGUCGAACACGAGCUGAAUUUUUUAGCUCGAAAUCUUAACGAGUUGAAUAAGAGUUGUAGUCAGCUCGCUCGUGUUCGGCUCAAUAUAGCUCAAAUAUAUAUACAAACAUAUUAUAUAUUACAAAUUUCUAAUAUUUGGUUCUUAGGCCAACCCAAAUGUAAAUAAAUCUAUAUUUUGUGGAUUUCACUUAUUAAAUUAAGAUUCUAAUUUUUUAAAUUUCUUUCCAUUGUUCAUCUAGUAGUAAGACUGACAAUAUAACUUGCUAUUCGCGAGCCAACUCGUAUUCGGUAGUAGGGUUAGCAAUAAACAAGCCAAACAUAAGAUGAAUUUUUAGUUCGUUAGUUUUACGAGCUAGCUCGUGUUAGGCUCCAUCUCACUCGUAAUCGGCUCAUUGACGGCCCUAACACUAUGUAAUAAACAUAGUAGUAAAUUUUUGGGGGAAUGGCAUCAUAAUUUCAAAUUAAGAUGAGCUCACAUUAAAAAAAAAAAAGUACCUAAUUGUUCAUCUACUACAUUGUUGAUAUGUAGUUUGCUUUUUUAAGGAUAUGUUCUAAUAGCCGGAUGAAUAUUUAUGUAUCAAAACUAUAUAAUUCCGUUGGAGAUCUAGUACAUUAUUUAAUGCUAUUGUUUUUUUUUUUUUUUUUUUUUUUUUUUUUUUUUUUUUUUUUUUUUUUUUUUUUUUUUUUUUUUUUUUUUUUUUUUUUUUUUUUUUUUUUUUUUUUUU
RNAcentral lists this long non-coding RNA (54119 nucleotides) under Ananas comosus (pineapple). RNAcentral's name for it is "long non-coding RNA (ACOM_LNC018462)". Lineage: Eukaryota; Viridiplantae; Streptophyta; Magnoliopsida; Poales; Bromeliaceae. The record is from RNAcentral.